UCAAGCUGAGCAUACCAGACACCAGUGAUCUUGACAUCCUUUGGAGUCUUGGCACCCAAGUCAGUGUCAGAUGGCUGAAGGCUCUCGAACACACCGAUAACUUCACCGGUCUCCGGCUUGCUCUUUGUGACGCUCAAGGUGAUUUUCCCUGAUGAAGAUGCAGCACUCUUGUUGUUCUCCUUGGCUAGCUCUUCCUCAUCCCCUCUUCCUCCAGCAGGCAAGGCCACUGCAUUAUCGUAACCGGUUGAGCCACCCCUUCCCUUUGGGUCCAAGAAAGAUGAGCCACGGUAGGAUGGUACAAGGAAGUCUCCUCCAAAGCUAUCAGGUUUGCCUGAUGCAACCAAUUGCUUGAUGGUGAACAGGAAAGGCACACGCUCACCACCAGGAAGCUGAACUGUGACGGCAGCAUAAUCAAUCCCAUCUUUCUCCUCGAAUUUGAGGGUGCCAUCGGUAGAUACCUCGAAAGGGCCCUCGAUUUCGUCAAGGGUGUAGGUUAAACGGGUCAUGAGCUUGGUGUUUUGGAACUCAGGAGGGGCAUUCUUGUUAACCCCCUCAGCCUUGACAGUGAAGGAAGUGGGCUCCAAGCAGAACUUCUUGGCGUAGUAUUUGCCAGGCUUGAAGGCAAAAGAGUCGACACCACCAUCGAUGGUUGGGCACUGGUUAGCAGUUCCUGUUCCUUUGACUUCCAUGUAUGUCUUGCUUUGGAUUUCAGCGUAGGUUAGCCGCUUUGGAACUCCUUCAGCGCUUGCUCCCUUCAAAACAAACCAGUCAUUGUAACAUAUUUGUUCAGAUCACGGAUCGUAUAUGAUCCUUAUGUAUGCAAUCAACGAUACUUGGCUCAAAUGAAAAAUCCAAAUGACAAAGUUACAACACCAUGCAAGCUCAUUAAGAAUCCUACCUAAGCUACAUAAAAAUAAAUACAGAAAUUUGAAGCAAGUGAGAGGCGAGAAGUACAUACCGAGACAACAAGAGCAGAUGUAGCAAGAGCGAAACCAGCGAGCUUGGUAGCAUCAACACACUUCAGAGCCAAGUCCUUGAGGUCAGUUUGCAAAGAGCAGGUAAGCCUAGCACCAACAGGCUCCAAACCGAAGGCCUUAGAAACGCUCUGGGAGGACCUGAGCGGCACAUUGGUCCUUGAUGGUGCAGCAACCUUGAUUGGUUGCAUCAGGGUAGCUGGAGCUUGAAGUGAGACCGCCAUUGUUACGAACUAUUGGAAAACAAAGAAGAGAGAGUUGUUUUAGUGAGAGCGUAGGGGAAAUUUAGGGGCCAAUUAUGUUGGUGGCAAUGGUGAGAGUAAAGAUAAGGGGAUAGGAUAUGGGAAGUUCCCAUUGGUGGAUGAAGGUAAUGUAUUUGGUUUCAGGGUAUGACACGUGGAGAUUUUGUGAAAUGGGAUAAAAAUAGGUGUUAGUCAUAGUGGAUGAUGUGGAGGGACUACAGAUUUUCUUAAAGUUAGUUCUGCCAUACAAAUUCUGGUGGUUGGCCUUCCUCCACUUGGGCAAUCGUGCUCAGAGAGUACUUUGACUUGGAAAUCAUUUGGUUAAAAUAUGCUGUUAGUCCCUAUAUUUUGAUACAAUCUGAGAUUUAGUCUUUGUACUUAAAAAAUUUUAAAAAUUAAAUCCUACUUUUUUUUUCUUAAAAUCUCAGUGCAAUCAUUAAAAUCACAAGUACUUUCUGUCAAAAUUUUUUAAUUUUUCAUAAGUAUUUUUUGUCAAAUUUUGUUAACUUGAAAUUUUGAUUAGGUUUUUCUCAUAUGAUUGAUAGAAAAUAAAUAUAUUAAGUUGAAAAAUUUUGUUAGAAACUACCAACAAAGAUAAUAAUUGAACUAGGAUUUUUAAAUUGAAAAAUUAGAAUGAUUGAUUUUUUUUUUUUACAUUGUAAGUAUAGGGACAAAAUUUCAAAUCCUACACAAGUACAGGGACCAAAUAAUUUUCAUCAGCUUCUGUUGUGUUUGGGUUCCGUUUGGAUGUAAAAAGUGUCCAAAGUAGCAAGCCCAACCCAAACUAGAAGAGAAGUAAAAUCAUAAAAUAAUGAUGAUGGCCCAUGCAGGUCUCGAACCUGCGACCUUCGCGUUAUUAGCACGACGCUCUAACCAGCUGAGCUAAUAGGCCUUGAUGGCAAAUACGAUUUUAUUAUAUAAAUGAAGAGGCUACAAGAUUUCGUAUAAUAGUUCAAUAAUUCAUACACGUGGAAAGACAGAUUCGUCAUUGACGAUUAUCAACGAGAAUUGACAGUGUUUGUGGGAAAACCAGUCUAAAAUAACCAACCCCUUUCUUUAUUCCUCUGCUUAAUUUAUUCAUAUAUUAGCCCUAUCAUUACUCUUAAGGCAGCACCCUCUGACAUCUGGCAUGCAUCCACAGCAUUUAUGAAGAUUGCUGGUUACCUGCAAAACAAAACUUUAAAGUUGUUUCAUAUUCAUAUUCAACCAAAAACAUCAAGCUUGGCUUUUUUGUCCCUAGCUCGCUUAUCAUGAUCUUCAUCUUUCCUUUCGCUUUUUUGAAACAACAGGUUUAAAUGUCAACAAAUAAAAAUACCCAUUUUCCUAGUAUGUUGUUGUUGGGUAUUGAAGUAAAGAUUAGACGACCUCAAAGAGCAACUAAAACUAUGACAAGUAACCUCAUAUACCAAAAAGUCAAAGAAAAACUAUAACCUGAAACUGGGGUUGCAGGUUGCUGAUUAUUGUUGUUGUUUGUCGCAUUAGUUGUGGAUGGUAUGACAACGCCAGGCCAUGAUCGGCACAUGCAGUGUUUUCCCACAUCUAUGCUGGCAUAGAGUGUGGAUAGAUGUUUCCCACAACCACCCCAAGUGUACUUUCCACAUUGCCUGCAAUCCACCCUGUAACACAUUCUUUAGGAAUUUCUUUGCUGGCAAGAUUUUUAAAUCUUGUACUGAUAUUUGAUAUUGCUUCACAUCUCUUUAUCCUUCUCCUUUUUCGGUCUUUAAAAUGAAACGUUUGCUUUGAUGUAAUCGAACACAUUGUUGCAUAAUUAGCUAAAUAGUAAAAUAGAAACUUUGCCUGCUUAUCUUCUUGUUUGUAUCGCUUUGGCUAGUUAUAUUCCUGUCGUCCAAUUCACUUACAACUAUCCUUUCCGCCCAUGUUUUCAUAAUAAUAACAAUAAUUGUCGAUAGAUAUGUUAAUGCAUUAAAAAAGCUUGGCACUGUUUAAAAUUCACCAAUAGCAACAAAAAAGGAUAAAUGCAUGUCGCAAUACAAAAAUUCCAAUCAGGCUUUUAAAUGUAGGGAAAUGAUUAUAUCUAACCAUUGAUGUACCGCAAUUACAUAUUAGAUACAUUACUAUAUGAGAGCUUUGCACGAAAAUGGUAAGAGUUUUUCAGAAGCAUAUUACAGCAGAAUAUAUCAAUUAUGAAUACAGGCAACCAAAACUGUAGUUUGCUACUACAGAUGGUAAGAUUCAACGGCAGACCCCGAUAACUACUAGUUAGGCAUUAUCAAAAUCUAGGACCCAAAAUCCGGAGGCACUGAUGCCACCUCCCUCAGAUUAUGGGUGGAUUGCAGGUUUCUUUAUUGAGCUCAAUUCUACGGCACCUGCACUCAUCAAAACACACUUCACUCCUCUUCCUACGAUGCCAAGAUGUGUGACAGCCGCGGCCCCAUUUGUGUGAGCAGUGGAAACUGUUGGAGAGUCAAAAUGAUCUACAUUGCUGUUAGCAGGAGACAUAUGUGAAGAGUUCACUGCAGCAGGAGAUGCAUUAUUCUCACCGCCCCUUGCCUUGCCAGAUGCCAUUCCCUGGAUUUCUGCAAUAAUCAACGUUGGGUCGGAGAUCAGCUGCUCUAGAUCUUCAAGCUACAAAUAUGGAAAUAGACAGAAUAAUAAAGUAUGUUUUACAUCAUUAUUAUUUAGUUCAAAUAGAUCAUCAAAAUUGCACUUGCCUUCUUUUCCAGGUCUUCAGCAAGUCCAACAAGAUUGUCAAUUUCUGCUUCUUUAUCUGUCAAUUUCUGCUUCUUUAUCUUUGACAGAUAGAACAGUCUGAGAGCCCUUAGACAGUUGUUCACCGUCACCAAAUUCAGAGGCAGCUGAAGAUGAUGCUAAUCCAGUGGAAAUCAUUAUCUCAUUCGUGAGCCGUUGCACCCGAGACUUGCAAACUGAGAUGGCCUUCUGACCGUAUGGAAUUGCUUCUUUGGGGUUUGAGCCAAUCUCCAAACACGUACAAAUCCGAAAAUUCCUAAAUUAUAGAGUUAAGCAGAAAAUAUAAAAACUGAAUGACAUUGAAGGUUUGACUUAGGGAGAUCCACAUUUCUUCAACUGACCAAGAUACCGCAUUAUUAUUGAACCGGGGACAACCAAAGAAACAAAGAUAUUUCAACCUUAACAAGGAUACAGUUCAGCUAUUUGCCGGUGAUCUGGUUCAACCAGCUGUUGCAAAAUGGAUAGAGCUUUCUGGUAACUGCCAAGUUAAGAUUCAAUGUCCUCUAAAGAAGCAUAACAGAAAAAAAACAUGGAUGCUUCAAUAAAAACUGGUAAAGAGGGUUCCUCCUCCCCAUCCCAACAAAGCAUACACAAGCUACAACGAGCAGUCAAGUACUGACCUCUUUCCAAGUCAACUUCAGCCAAUGCAGAUAAAAUACUCCACUUUCUCCAUGGUGUCACCCAACUGCUGUUUUUCAGCAAUUGCCCUCGCAAUAUCUAGCAUUUUCAAUGCCAAAUCCAAAUCCAAUUCCGAUUCAUCCACGUCCUCAUUUGCUUCAGCUUCAAUCACAUCAGUGUCGCUAUCGUCACUAUCCUCGUCUUUUUCACCUGAAACACAGAACUAAAUCCAACUGGAUGUGUAAAAGAACAGUUAACAAUUUAGUUUAUGAACUAUAACAUUGAUCGUGGAGCAGCUGUUAUGCACAAUUCACAACAAUGUGAACGAAAAUGAAAGAGAUUCAACUACAACGCUCAAUUCAACUAGAGGUAAAUAAUCCCCUCAGAAGACAUACUGCCAUCCUGUUCCGAAUUGCUUGAUACAGAAGCAACUGAAGAUUCCCGAGUUACAACACCUUUGGUCGGCCCCUCUUUGUUUGAGUCUUGCAGAAUCUCACCAUCCUUUUCCGGAACAGAAACCAGAGGACCAGUCUCCUCUUGAGCCUUGCACAGCAGUGCACGUCCAUACAGAUAGUACACGUUGAGACAUGCGACUGCAAGUUCACCGUGAUGCAAAGCCCUAAUAUGAAAAAACCUUAAAUAGUUAAAUAUAACUUCAGCUACAAAUGGCAAUUCACUAAACCUCUGUUUGAUUGUUUUUUGCACCUAAUUGCACUUUGAAACUAUCUUAAUUACUUCACAGAACAUAAAUUAUAAUAAUGCAAGUUAAUGAAAAAAGUUAAAAUUUUUAUUUUUCUUAAAAAGAAAGGGAAAAAAAAUUAAAAUUUUUAUUUUUCUUAAAAAGAAAGGGAAAAAAAAGGGGGGGGUAAAACCAAACCCUGAAUCAUAGAUUUAGUUUAUUUCCUCAUAAAUUAAAUAAAAAAUGGAAAAGAGAUCAGAUGAAACAGAAGCACAAGGUUUAAACCUGAUUUCAAGGGCACGGCGAAAGAAAUGGGCAGCUUGGGUGAAAUCGUUUUCUUUAAAAGCCUUGGAUCCUUUCUCCGUCAACUCAUCUGCGAACUCCAGCGCCUUCGCUCGGCCAAUAUCCGGAGCAAUCCCACAGCUUUCAGUGUUGUUCUCAUUAUUGCAUGUAGACUCGGUACCUCCACGAACCGCAGAUUCGAUAGUGGCUUCUAUUGAACCUUGCGCUUCUAGGGUUUCCACCUUUUUCGGUUCUGGUGUUUGCUCUGUCGUCGUCACCGGCACCGCCGUAACUUCUUCUUCAGCCAUCACUUUUUUUCUUUAAUAUUUACCGAAAAAUACAAAAGUAUGGAUAAUCGAAAACAGGUCUUAGGCUUUCUCUUGCCCGCCUUCCAGAAAUCCUUUCUGGCGGAAAAUCGAGGUUUGAAAGGAAAGACCGAAACCUUGAACGACAAGCUUUAAAGGAGAGAAAUGAAGGGUACUUUCGUAAUUGAAAGGAAAAAGGUUUCUUUUUUGUCAAAUUAUUAUCAGUGUCAGACGAUUCUGUCAUUUUGAUUUGGAAAGGUUAGGCUCUGAGGAAAUGAAAGCAAAAAAUGGUUUCCACAACGACUCCACUCUCUCUCAGUCCGCUGUAUGUUUUUAUAUAUAAUAUAAUGCCUGCUGGAAUUAUAGAAUCUUGUUGAUGGUAUAUAUUUAAAAAUGAUAAAAGAGAGCUGAUGAGAUUUAACAAUCUUCCAAACAAAACGAUUAUAGUAUUGUAAUCACUUUACUAAUCGAAUUUAAACACUUUCCGGGUUUCAACAUUGAUUAACAUUUUGUGAAAAGAAAAGAAAAUUUUUAUAGGAUGAAUAGUAUUCACAAAGCAGUUGUUGUUCAGGUCUCAUCAUUCUCGCCGAGAUGAAUUACCCAACAAGCUGUUUGUUGAAGGUGAGCUCUGUCCACUUGACCAAUGAUCUUGUACUGAUAUAGGAGACCUAUUUUUUACGUCUUCUAAUAAGGUGGUUAAACAUUCUCCUUCCCUUUGCUUCAACUUCAUCAGCCUCCGGCUUCCCACAUCGGACAUCUCCGUUGACUUGUUGAAUGAUUUCUCACUUUCUUCGUCUGAGGAAGCUGCAGGAGACUCGAUGCACAUGCCUGGAACCCAAGCGCUGAGUCUGAUGUGUUCUAGCUCUUCUGCGACUUCGAUCAUGGUUGGCCUCAUGUCCCGAUGAGAAGCGAGGCAUCUAAAUGCUAGCUCGGCCACAUUAUGAAUUGAUGAAAGUGUCCAAGCAUCUCUAUGUGGAUCAAGGUAUGGAUCAAUUAUCUCAUCCACGCAGCCUCUUCCUAUCCUAUCGAUAGCAAGUGCAGCUAAGUUUACUUCAUUAUGAGCGCGUGAAAAGUCGACCACUUUCAGCGCAGUUAUUAUCUCCACAAGAACCACCCCGAAACUGUAUACAUCACUUUUAUCUGAAAGAUGGAAGUAUUGAUGGUAUUGAGGAUCAAGAUACCCUGGUGUUCCUUGAGGGGCAGUUGAGAUGUGGGAUGAUUCAGCCAUCCCAAGCCUGGAAAGACCAAAAUCAGCUACCUUUGAUCUAUAGUUGUAAUCCAAGAGGAUAUUGCUAGACUUAAUAUCUCGGUGAAAAAUAGGCGGAUUCACGGAGUGAAGAUAGGCAAUUGCCUUAGCAGUUUCAGCAGCUAUUGUGAGCCUUACUGUCCAUGGAAGUCCUGAACCCCUCUCUCUUUGUAGAUGCUGUGAUAAAGUUCCAUUCGGCAUAAACUCAUAGACCAGCAUAGGUUCACCCUCCUCCAUGCAGCAACCUAAGAGGCGGACGAGAUUUGGGUGACUGACCGAGGAAAGGAGCUUAAUCUCAUUCAUUACUUGGUCAAUACUAUCAGGAUCUCUAUAUCUGAACCUUUUUAUGGCAACCAAGUUAUCGCUGUGGAGUUUCCCUGCAUAAACUGUCCCAUAGGCUCCGGUUCCCAGUCUCUGUUUAUCACAGAAGCCAUUAGUAGCUCUUUCAAUUUCUCUAUAGGCAUAGCAAGGAACACUUGAAUUGCCUGCGGCUUCAGAUAGAAGGCGCUUUGCACUCAUCUGUUUGUUGAUGUUAUUAGAACGCCGUCGCAAAUAGAAACAUACAAGAGCCACAAUACCCAUUAGCAAUGCCCCACCAACAAGCCCUAAGAAAUUAAACAAUGUGGUCCAUUAGUCACUUAAAGAAGAGAACACAAAAUCUAUAAGAGGGAUGGAUGAUGAACACAUUAAUACAAUUAUUUUGAAUUACAGCCAAAUUACCUCCAACCAGAACACCGACUCUUGUAGUUCCCCCGCAUUUGCCAGAAAUGUAUUUUGAAGCAUUGCAGCUGGGCACUGAUUAAUGUAGCAUUCAGAAACAUAUUGUCAAAAACUAUAGGCAUGAAACCGAUAAAAUAUGCAAAUGUUGACUUUCCGAUAGACAAGCACCGAUCAGAAUCAAGAAGACAUUUGUGUAUUUGUUGCUAAAAUAUUUUCAUAAAUGUAGUGCAUAGUUGAUAGGAAGAUCCUUCUAACAAGUUGUUUACCAAAGAAGUUAAAUUUCGGCCAUAUUUCCUAAAUUACAAAUCCGUAUACUUUAGGAGGUGUGAAUUACCAUAUCCAAAUCUACUUUUAUGCAUGCCCUUAACUUCCACGAGGGAGCCAAGUCAAAUAUCAGACAAAGAUGUAAAGCAAAACAGUACAUUGUGUCCAAGAAUGGAAAACUCCAUUAGUUUUGCCAAGUCAACAACGCUGUUUUUUGUUGACGUUGACCUCAUUGUUGCCUUUCUUGAAGAGGCUUAGAAUUAUGGAUAAUGAUGAAGGUGAGCGAUCAGUUGACCCUCACAGCCAAUUUUAGCCACCAUUGAGGUUGAAAAUUCAUGACGCGCAUUACCGGUAAAAAAAAGUUUCAUCUUUUGGUGCAAUUCAACCACUAAAUAAGAUGCAACUUUACAUGCAGAAACUCUUGAUGUUGGUUCGUAGUAAUGCCAAAAAUUGAUGAACCAUAGUGCAAAAGCAUCAAAUUGUAUAUGAUUUCACCAAGAGAUCAACUCCUACAAUUCUACGCCAUUUUCUUUUCAAAUGUAGUUAAACUGUUAAAGCUACCAUUUCUAGAGAUACAUUACUAGUCAAGAAUCCCACAAUAAUUUUGCUCUAAAAUCCAAGUCAAAAAAAAAAAAAAAAAAACAACCCGACAAAAUAAAAUAAUUAGUAAAACAAAAUCUUUGACUUGGAAGAGUUGACUAACCUCUCCGGCAACCACCGCCUUCUUUGAAUCCAUCUCCUUCAAACCCUUCCUUGCAAAAACACUUACACCCCACCGUCUUGUUACCAUUCUUGACGUCCGUACGGUUAGCGUUUGGGUCGCAAUUACAGUCUUUAACCCACCAUUCCAAUUUAACUCGUUCCAAAUCCACAGAGACCGCUGAGUUCCUCGCCGGGUCAACUACAAUAGCGGUAGAGGAAAACAAGAAACGGCACUGCGUUUUAUUAACUUCCUCGAAACUCAACAGCCGGACGCCGUCACCGGCGCUAGAGAAACAGCUUAUGUUGUCACUCCUAGCAGCACAAGGGCCAGCUUGAAACGACCUUUCUAGAAACAUUGGCCUUAUUUCACAAGGACCUGGUAAGGGGUUGGAACAGUUUUGGAGAAGGAGAGUGUUGUCCACCGAAAGCGCGUAGUUCUCACCGAAGAGAACGGCGAGUGAAGCAAGCGGUCGGUAGCAUUUGGCGUGAAGGUCGAUGAUGAUGUCCUUGGAAGUUAUGUUGAGGACAAGGAAUUCUCCAAUUCCGACCCCGGUCGAGUUGCAGUUGAGUUGGAUGGGGCAACCCGGUGUGAAUCCGAAUGGAAAGGGUAAGGGGCUUGAGAAAUUGCUGGUUUCGCAGGAGCCUUGGCACUUGUUGUUCUCCGAGUUAACUGAGUUUGCUCGGUAGAUAACAAAAAGAAAUGUUAUGGUUAUUGAGAAGGGUAAUUUUGCAUAGCACGGCAUAUUUUUCGAUUCUCAAAGAAGAAAACAGAGCGACAUCAGCUUCCUACAAAAAAAAAACAGAGCUUGAAUAAGAGGAACAGAGUAAAAGGUAAAACAUGUAGUUAUUGAAAAAAAAAAAAGAGGAGUUAUUGGGGGGGGGGAGAGGGAGUUAAAGCAGAUCGAUUGAUGGCGUUGGGAAGUCCAUCUAAACUCAAUAAAUGCUAAUACAAAGAAAGGUCAAUGCAUUGUAAAUUCGGGAAAUUUCUUUCAAAAAGGAAAUUUUUAAUGAAUUGGCUUGGUUUAGUUGAGAAUAUUUAUGAGCUUACCUUGUUCUUGUUUCUUCUUCAAUGGCUGCAACAAUUGCCUCUUCUUUAUUUCAAUAACAGAGCUUCAAAUAAAUAAAUAUCUGAGCUUUGUUAACGCUUCUUUAGAAGUACUUUGAUUUUGGGUUUUUGGUUUUCAUUUCAAAUCAAACAAAAAAAAAGAAGAGAAUUUUGGAGAAGAAGAGGAAAUGGGAAAUGAGAGUUGAAAGUUUUUAAAUAUAACACAAGAAGAGUUGUUAAAAACUCCAUUGACAAGUGUUUAGUGAAUUAAUUAUUAUGAAAUAACUGUUUUACCCUUUUAAGUUUGGGAAGAUGAGGGAAAUGAUUAGACGGAAAUGUCCUUCAAAAAGUAGGUUAAAUUACGGAGAUAGACCAAACCAGAUAUUAUAUUGUGGGUCAGCACCGCACACAAUAAAAAAAUGGGUUUCGAGUUUUGACUAAAAACAUAAAUAUAUAUUUUUUAACAAAUGUGUGAAGGAAUCCACAUCAUUACUCAGCAUAAAAACAAUAAUAUUUUAGCAAAUUUUAAAUUUUAUUUCUUAUUUAAUUAAUUUUUAAUUUUAAUUCAUCGAAUAUGUUUUAUUUAUGAUUUAUAUUAUAAACAUUGAAGUAGAAUCUUGAAUUUUAAUCCUAUAAAUAAAAAAAUAACUCUUAAAACAAUUUUUUUCAAUUAAAAUCCAAUGAAAUUAGUCAACGAGUGCUUAAUAUCAUUGACAAAUGGUGAGACUCUAGGUUUUAAGUAUCUAGAUUCGAAUUUUAUUAUGCACAAUUAUCAUGUGUAAGUAUCUCAAUCUUAACCUGUGUGGCUUUUAUAAGUGAAUUUUGUUCAAUUAUAUUUUGAUUCUUUAUGCGUUUGUAAUUGUAUUGGUUUGAUUACACACUUCAACUUAGGUUAGUUUUUUUCUCUCUUUUUUUUAAAUCCUUUUUUAAGUAUUUGGGUGGGUUGCCUUUUUUUUAUGGUUUGAAACUAUUAAUUCGAGCUAAAGAACAAUUCAACCAAUUCACAAUUUGCUCGUCAACCCUAAUUCUGAGUUGUUCACUCUAAAAUCGAUCUAACCCUUUUAACUAAAUUAAUAUAUUAGUCAGUUCUUGAUCUAAUUUAGUUUUGGCAAUGUUACUUUAAGUGCCAACAAAAGGUUUAAUCACUGUUCCUUUAUACAGUUGACUCUCCUUCCUUUACUGUAAUAAAGAUAUACUAGAUUAUCACGCACCUACAUUAUAGGUGAAAAAUUAUGUAAUAAAUAUAUUUACUAAAAGUACAUAUAAAAAUAAAAUGAAUCUUAAAUGGAAAAAUUAAAUAUUUAAAAUUCGUUGCUUCAGAAGUUCAAAUUUUACUACGAUUAAAUAUUUAUUGAUUUUAUAUAAAAAUAUAAAAUGAAAAAAAAAACAUCUUAUAAAAAUUAAGAUUAAUUUAACAAUCUUGUAACAAAAAAUUAUUAUAAUAAUUUCUCAAUUGAACUGCUAUUCAAUAGACUCAUGACAUUAACUCAUUUAAUAUAAGUAUAGAUAUAAAAUAUUGUUAUAAUAAUUAUAUGGCUUUUUUUUUUCAAUUUAGUGAUAUUAUUUAAUUUGUUAUAAAAAUAAGUUAUACUGUUUAAUAUAUUAAAAGUGGAUUAGACUUUGAUUUAGCGGUAAAAAUUAAGAGAUUUUAAUUUCAUUUCAUUUGGUAUUUAUAUUGAAGUUGUCUAAUUAUAUUUUAUUAUUUUAUAGGGUUUCAUUAAUUUAAUAGUGCUAGGUGAAUGUGAUAACUGAUUAUAAUUAUAAUUUUAAAAUAUCAAUAAUAAAUUAAAUCAAAUUAAUUUGAAAGGUUAAAAUUUUUAUUACAGAAAAACUAAUCCAAAUUGAGGACUUGUCUUUUUCUUUUUUCUAUUAGGAGGAUUUGUUUAAUUUAGAAGAACUCAGAGUGGCAUCCUAUUAGAGGACUUUUCUUUUUAUAUUUAUUUAUAUAUACUAGGAUAAGUAAAACCCAUAUUGAAAUUCUGGUUGCAUAUUCUAAUUUAAUAUAAAAACCAUGUGGAAAUUUUGUGUUAAUUUCUACCCCCUUAUAUUUCUGAAUUUAUAGAAACAAGAACUAAAGUUUACCAUCACAAGAUUAUUACCUUAGCUGUGAUUUUUUUUUUUUUGUUAAAUUACUUUCUUAUUGUAAAAUAUAGGAAAGAAAUAGUAUAUAAUUUUAUGUUUCUACUCAUCCAUUUUUUUUAAAGUAAUAUUUAAGUAAAUUCUUGUCAACAAUGAUAAUUUUAAUAUUUAAAUUUAAUUAAAAUAUCCGGAAAAAAAAAUUCACUUUCACUUUUUCUAAUUAUUUGUUGGUAAAUAGAUACAUGUUUAAUAACAAAUAUAAACUUUUAAGAAGCUUUUAUAUUUCAUCUACUUUAAAUCUUAUGAAUGAAAAUGAUAAUAGUUUCAUUUAAAUUAAUUUCGAAUUUAAUUAAGAUUAUGAAAAUAGAGGAAAAGGAGAAAUGAUAAAGAAAGAGGCGCCACACCCUCUCCUCAAUUUCUUUGAAAGCAAUGCUAUUGGUAAGAAAAGCAGCAACUUUUGACCAGUGAAGGUUGUAUUAUUUUCAUAUUUCAGGGCCUUGAUUUGUGCAGCAUAUACGAAAAAGUUUCAUCAAGGGUGUCAUGCAUGGCGUAUAAUUAAUUAAUUUUUUAAUGCUUUUCAGAUAAAAUUGAACGACUUUCCCGUUAGGUUAUCUACUUUCUGUAAAAUUUCACCAUAUUCCUGGCAAAUUACAAUAGAACUUUGAGAAAAGUAGUGCCAUUUUACUUCCACACAUUAACUUUUAGGUACAAAAAGCUGAAAUGGUGCAAAGAAAAUUACAGUUAAACAAUGGCAUCACAUGCAAGUAUAGAAGAUUAUUAAGAAAGCAGCAUGUGUUUAUUUGUAGAUUUCCACCACUUCCACUCUAUCUUAUUCUACUUAAAAAUCAUCACUCGAGCAAAGUUCCAUACCACUUCACUCAACCCAUUGAGAAUUAUCGAUGAGAAAAUAUUUGAAUGAGCUCUUUAAAAUAUAUCACUAAAAAUAAAUAAAUGGUUUCCAAAUUUUUUGUACUCACGAGAGCUGAUCAUCUUUUGGAGGAUUACGACUAUGUUAUAGAUUUGUGAAAUGUUUUUUUUAUUCCCAAAUUUGAAAAGGCAGGCAAAAAGAAGCACUUCAGUUUGAGUUCUAAUAUAUAUAUAGUGUUUGGUUGAGGGUACAUAGAUUUGGAAAUGAAAGUCAAAGGGGGAUGGCACAUGGCCAGUUGUAAACAAAAUGCUUUGCAAUUAUAGACCAAGGCUUUUGCUUUUCCCAUAUCAAGGCUUCUACUUAUUAUAAACCCUUUUCUCAACUCCAAUUUAAUUCACCCAUGUAUCCUUCAAUGUUUAAUAUAUAAUAUUUAGGGUAAAUUAUAUUAGUAGUCAUUUAGUUAUUUAAUUAUGAAAAAUUAUAAAAUUUUCACUCAAUUGUUCAAUUUUUAUUUUUUUUGGUCAUCCAACUAGCUUAUAUUUUUUGAUGUUUCUAUUUUUACGUUAACUCGCCAAUGACAAAAAAGGACCAAAUUGAAUAUUAAAUGACCAUCUUAUAAUUUUUUAUAGUUGUUGAUAAAAAAAAUUAAUAAUUGAGUGACUAUUAAUAUAAUUUACCCUUAUAUUUAUUAGGAUAAAAAUCACUCACCCCUCAAGUUUACUAUAAAAUAUAUAGUUUCACUUAUAGUUUGAAGAAUACUCUAAGAAAAUUUAAAAUAAAAAGACAAUUAACUCUAUUUAAUUUAUUCGUUUACAUAUUCUUUUAAUUACAAAAUAAUGAAAAUUUAAUUCUAUUUUUAAACUACCAUAAAAUUAAAUAUAUUUCACUUAUUUAUUAAAAAAAUCUAUUUCACUUCAAUUAAAAUAAUGUAUUUUAAAUUUAUAUUUAAUUUAGUUCAUGUUAAUCUUUAGAUGAAUUUAUUAAAUUAUUUUUAUAAAAAUUAAUUAAUUAUCAUUAUUUAAAAAGUUUGAAUAAAAAAUUUACUAAAUAAUAAACGAAAAAAUAAAGAAAAAUGAUUAACCACAAAGAAACAAUUUUGAGGAUAGAACAAAUAAAUAGAAGGCUUAGUUGAAAAGAGAUUCUUAAUCCGUGCUUUUAUUAGAGUUAGGUUUUUUUUUUUUUUUCGAAUCAGAUACCUAAGCUUUAUUUCUGUAACAAAUGUUGAUCCUUACCGCUGUCAAAAAGAAAAUCUCAAUAAAAUCUAAUUAAAUAAAAAAAAAUUAAAAAAAAAAAUCCUCCCCACCAAAGCUCGGUAGGGAAUCGCAUUCCAGUUCACAGCCAAAGCAACCCAUCAAUAUCUGUUAGCAUUCAUGAGUGAAACAAUGUGGGGAUCCUGAAAUCCCGUUGUAACAUUACACCCUUAAGCUGCACCACAAAAACAAUCUGAAUCAACUUCAAAUGCAGCACUAUUCCCACCACCUCCUUACCUUACCACACCAAGGAUUACAGCUCUUCUUUUCAAACGUAUUUGUGAUUUGUGAAUAUCAUUGAAAGCUCCUCAUUCAGUAUGAGAUGGCCUCUUUGGAAUCAAAUUCAGCCAUAGCAUCAAGUUAGAUUAAGUUUCAAUUUGCAUAGUUUUAUAUCGCCAUUUAAUGGAGCAUUAAAAUACUCAAAUGUCUCUACUGUGCAUUGGCUCAAACUUAGGGGAGAGAUAGUGGUGAGAGAGAGGGAGAAAAAUGAUGUGACACCUCACACCCGACUCAAUCACUGAGGUCAAAUAUAAGAUACCAUAUUCGUAGUUAAAAUAACUCAAACUAACUCGUACAUUGAAUUCAUCGUGAUAAUCAAACAUUAAUCCCUAAAUAACCCAACUGAACACAUCAAUUUAACUUACUUAGCAUGCAACCUACACCUGUUUCAUUGAGUAAACACCAUGUAAUGAUCAUGCAUACCAACAUAACGUCAUAUUCAUACCACUUCACAUAUAGCUUACAAUUCACUAGCAUUCUAAAUUUAAAUCAUAGAAAGGGGUUCUAAAGCUAGCUUUGACACUAAGUACAUUAUAUUCUAAAGAUUAUACAAACGUUGCUUAGUUGAGAAGUGAGCCAUGGAUACUGUCGAACUUUUUGUAUCCAUGAGACCUAAUCGUCACUGAAUUAUUUGUUUGUCUUCUGUUUUUAUCCUUACGUUGUUCCUCAUUUUCAACCUUGCUCAAUGACACGGAAGUGUAGAAAUGAUAUUAAUUUUUAACCAUUAAAUAUAUAAUUCAAACAUUUCACUUUAGUUUCCUUAAAUCUUAUUAUUUGAAAUUCUCUUAUUUUACUAUUUACCCAAUCAAAUCUAAAUCCGAUUUAUAACUAUUCUCCAAGGACCUCAAACUAUCAUUAUUUACUAAUAAAUCUCAUAGUCCUCAUUUUUUACAAAUAAAUCCUUAGUGAUUUAACAAACAUCACCUUCAUUUCUAAGAUGUAUAACAUAAAAUUUAAAUUCAACAACUCAGAUUUCAGGGCUUUCUAACUUAAUAUUCUACAUUAAAACUUCAUCAAUUUAUUAAUCUAACAAGUGAGUUUUCAUAUCUAUCAUUGCUUAUAAGAAUCACAAAGAAAACCUUACCAAUAUUUCUUACGGCAAUGAAGGAAAACCAAAGCCAAAACUCCUUUCUUCUUUCUUGGUUCGGUGGGAGAGGAGAUGAGAAUGAAUAAGGUUUGCGUCUCUUGCUCAUUUACUAUACCUUAUUUCCAUUUAAUAACAUUAAUCAAUGGCUCAAAUUUCUCAUGAAAGAUCUAGUGGAUGUUUAUGGCAUUGAUCAAUGCUUACUACUAACUUUUAAGUCAAUUAUGGGUCAAUUAAGUUUAAGUCCAUGUUUAAUUGUUUAGUAUAGUAAGGACCUGCUCAAAUCUUAAAUCAAAUCUCCUUAUUUAGUCACCUUAUAAUUUAAUCUUUGUACUAUUUAUGUAAUAAUUUAAUCAAUUUAAUGGUUCAACUGUUCUACCCUCUAACUUCGUGCUUGUCUCUAUAAUUUUUUGUUUUAAAAUUUUUGGAUGGCUCAGAAAUUGACUUUUUUGGCACCAAUAGAAGCCAAAUUGUUACAAGCGAGGAGGAGAGGGAGGUGUUUUUUAUUUUAUUUUAUUUUAUAUUAAUAUAAUUAUUUUUAUUUAACAUUAAUAUAAAAAUUUUAUUUAAUUAUUUAAUGAGGUGAUGGCGUGGCCCUUCUUAAUUAGCUUUGACUAUUCUUUUAACGGAAUAUAGCGAUAAAGAUCAACUUCAAUUACGAAAAAAAAUUUAAAAUCAAACUCAAACUCAAACAAAUGACAUAAUUUUGAAUUAAGCCUAAAUUGAAUAAUAAUUAAGUGAUAAAGGGUAAAUUUAUCCUUUUAUUUAAAAAUCAUUUAAUAAUUAAAACUUGAAGAUAGUAUUUUUUUUUAUUUUUUUUUGUCAAGCUUCAACAGGUAAGUGGGUAUCUUUCAAACCAUAAAGAUAAUCGGUUCUUUUUUUGUUAAGGGGGUAGGCGAAUUUUAUAUCGGUUUAAAUAUUUUACCUUCUAAAAAAUUUAAUUAUAAAAUAUAAAAAAUUCCAUAAUUAAAAGAUAAACAGUUAUAAAACAAUAAUAUAUGAUAAAUAAUAUAAUAAGAAGGUUAAAAUAUGCUCCAAUUUCUUGUAUUUUUUUAUACACCUGGAGUUUAAUUCCUCUAAUUUAUUUUAAAAAAAAUUAUAAAUUUGAAAAUACAAGUUCAAUUGUUAACACAUUAAAAUUCUUUUGUUUAAUUCAAGUUCAGUAGAAAAUUAUAUUUUUUGUUACAUAAUUACCAAAUGAGUCAUUUCUUUUAAUUUUAAGAUAUCACACCAAGAAAAAAAUUAUUUUAGCCAUUUAUUUAUUUUUCUCCUUUUUAACCCCUAAACUUGUAUUUUUUAAUCAAUUCAUCCCAAAAUGAAAUGAAAAGGUUAAUAUUUUUUAACUUUGCGAACGAUACAUACGCCAACAUUUAAUUAAUUUUUUUAAAAUUUAAAAAUUAUAAAAGUUAUUUUUAAAAUUUAAAAAUUAUUAAAAAUUUAUAAAUUUUUUAAUUUUAAAAAAUAAUUAAAUGUUGACAUGUCAUCUACAUGGUAAUCAAUGUGUAUGCCAUGUCAACAAAGUUGAUAAACGUCAAUUUUUUCCAUCCAUUUUGAGUGAUUUAACAAAAAUGCAAAUUCAAAAGUCGAAAGAGAUGCAAAAAUAAAUUAAAAGCUAAAAUGAUCUUUUGUAAAGUUGAAAGGCCACAGAAGUAAUUAUGCCUUCUUUGUUUAUUUAUAAAAUAAGAAAAAAAAUAAAACACCCUCAUAAUAAUAGACUUGUUCAUGGGUCGGGCACCUGACUUAACCCGAAGGCCCGUCCAAAAAGUGGAAGGAUUUGGGUAAAAAGAUACGCCCGAAAAAUUAGUUGGGUAAAAAAAUAAAGCCCGUUUAAAAAAACGAUCUAAGCCUUGAGUAAGGCAUUUUUUACCUAAGCCCGACCCAACCCGAAUUCACGAAAGGACAAAAAAAUCUACUUUAUUUCUAUUUUAAUGCUAUUUUCUUGUUACUCUCUCCCUAUUUUGUUAUUAUUUUAUUGUUACUGUUUGAAUAUUGUAUAACACUUGUUUUAUUAUUAAUUUUGUUAUUAUUUUAAAAGCAUUUGCUUAUUAAGUUCAUCUAUUGUAGUAAUUUAUUUUCAAUUUGUUGAGAAAUAUUUAUUUUAAUGUUUUUAAUAUUUUUGAUGUAUUAUAUAUAUUUAUAAAUUAUAUAAAAAGGUUUAAUAUGAGCAAGUUAGGCCGAGCUUAGAUUUUAACAUUUUUAUUUAGGCUAAACUUUGACAAAUUUUAAGCCUAUUUUUUUGGACUAGGCCUAAUAUCUUGGUUGGGCCAACCCAUUAACACCUCUACAUAGUAAUAUAAUUUAUUUAAAACAUUUUAAUAAUUUCAUUGACUAAGUUGAUAUCGAAUUAACUUAUGACACCAAGUUAAUGAUACAACUUAAAAAAUAGUAUAGAUAUACUAAUUUAUAAUUAGUUUUCUAUUAAAUGAAAUUAUUAAUAAAAAAAGUUGCGUCAGAUAACAAAAAAUUGAGAGCAGGAGCAAUUCGAAGCUGGGUAAAACGGAUCUUUUAACAACUAGAGAAAUGAUAACAUUAUUGAAUUAAUCAAUAACACAGACAAAAACUUCGUAAGGUAAGUAAUGAAUAAAUAAAUUAAUUAAUAUACAUUUGCACUAGAACAUAGUGUGUUGCGCUGUGGAACAUUAGUGGAGUUAUAUUUUCAUAGGUUGACUGAUGUCAUGAUCUUCCUAGGGCAACAUUACAAUAUAGGAAUAUAAUAAAUGGUUUUAAAAAUACUACAGCUAUUUACAAUCAGCCUAGCUAAGGGGUUGGUUCAUCUAUCAUUAACUUUGGUCAAGAAAACUCAACAGAAAGCCACUCACAAUUCGGCGAGCUACAGGGUUAGGGAUACUUCGACACAAUCUUCCAUCAAUAUAUGCCAGUAUUCCUGAAAGCACAAAUUUGGCUAUUCCCCAUUUCCAUAUGAACCUUACCUUCUGCACUUCUCCCGUGUCUGCAGGGACAAUCUCUUUCGCUUCAUCUUUCUCUGCUUCUUUCUUCGAUUUGAUGAUUGCGAUAUAUUUAUCUGCUUGACUUCUUAAUUUACGGAUUGCAAAACUUACAAACAGGUGCUCACACAAUGUUAUGAUGGUUGGUCCUAUUCUCCAUUCCUGGAGUAACAAAUUAUCCUCCAUUAAUAGAAUGUGAGACUCUAACUAGUGUGGCAAUAAACAUCAGUGUUCAGCACAGUCCAUUUACAAUUACAGAAUGCACACAUGCAUGUUCCCCUUUCUCGGUAUCCUUUUUUCCCUCUCAGAGAUCUCUAUACUGUAUUUCCAGUUUCCAAAGAGAUGCAGAAAUCAAAAAGGCCCACUUAAAAAAACAAAGCAGAGAGAGACAGAGACCAAUAUAAAUGGGAAAACACAAACACAUAUGUUAUCAUUAUACAAAUCAAUCUUGCACUUACUGGAUACUAGAAAACGUAGUGGAAAGGAUCAGAAAUGGCAACUUGGAUUGUUCAAGAACCCUCCAAAGCACAAAAAUUUAAUAAAGUGGCAGAUUAAAUUGAUGGAUAAACUUACACUUUCUCCUUGAACAUUGCGAAAAGGGUGGGAAGCUGUUGAAGGAUCUCCUUUCAAUAAUGCUUUGCUUAUAAGAAACCCCUUCACACUAUCCAUGAUCUCAUUUAUGAGGGAACUGUUAGGAGGUAGAUUCUUGAGGAAAACCUAAAUAUAGAAUAAAUCAAAUAAGAGCAUGUUUGAAACUCAUCCGUCAAGUAGGUAAGGCAAAGCAAGAUUCUGAAAAUGAAGGUGGAUUGGGAAGCCAAAAUUUGUCCUCAAAAGCAAGGUACUUGGAUGAACACUUUGUUAGAAGUGAUAAUAUAAUUAUGAAAGACCCACAUAAAUUAGAUGUCCCCUUUCGCUGCUAUCUAAAUCUCAAAUAAAUAAAUAAAUUUUGUUGCAGUACUGAUAUUUCUAUUUUCUCACUUUAAUCAGUUACCUGGUCAUCAAUUACUCUCACUCGAAGAUAUUCUUGCCUGUACAUUGAGUCUAACAUAGCUUGUAGGUAUCCUUCAAUGUACAACUGCAGAAGUUGAAACCUCAUCAGUGACCAUUAAAGCAAAAGUAAAACAAAUACAUUAAUAACUCCAGAAAAAAUCAGCAUCCAUUGAGCAGUGAGGCAAAGCAAUAACAAUCUGAAUUCCUACAGAAGUAAUCACAUAAAGAUGCUGCUAAAUAUCACAUGUAAUAAAACACUAGUUUUCAAGUGUGUUUUUCAGGUGUAUCUGACACAACUAGGUAUCUAUAUCCUCAGCAUUAUUGGUCAAUACUGCUUUCAUUACUGUAAAAGGAGACUUGAACAGAACAAUAUGAUAAGAGUACAAAAAACUGAGAUUGUUACCUCAUCAACCCCAGGACUCCUAUCAAGCUUGAUUUUUCUGUCUGGCCCACUCCCCAUCAAGGCUGUACCCAGGACCGAAGGCUCCAUAGCCAAUUUUAAUAUUCCUUGGUGAAAUCCACUCACCUUUAGAAUAAACAGUCGACUGUCACUUUCAACAGUUAUCCAUGGUAAUACUUAGAAAAUAAGCUAGAAAACUUAUGCAAAUUUAUGCAAAAUGACACAUUGACUGGUACCAUCCCAUUGAAACCACUUGCUUCUGCCCCCUUCAAAACAGAGUCAGAUAUUUCGGUAACAGCAGCAAAAAUUACAUUAGAGCCUGCUGUUUUUAGCUGCAGAGUUGGCACAGAAAUAACAUAGGUAAGUGCAAAGAAAGUAGAAAGAAAAUCACAUUCCUUAUUGAAGGUUCAUAGAACUUACUGUUUUACCCAGAUCACCAAAGUAGCGUUUUGUUCCCGAGAAACCUUUACCAUCAAUACAUCUACUGAUGAAUUUGAAGGUACCUGUGCAAAAUGAACAAAGCAGAAAUAAAAUAUCUCAACUUACAAACAGCCAUAAUCAAUUAUGAUAAAAUAAAUAUAUCUGAAACUAGAACCUGAACUUAAUCACAGAAUAUGCAGUCCACACAUAAUCAGUGCCUUGAAAAGUAAAGUCCCAGAACUAAACAAUGAAUCUUUUAUAUUUCUCAUAACUCUUAUAAUGCAAAAUAAAAAAAUAAAAAAAAGGGAACUCCCAACUCCAGUUUCAUUAAUGUAGCAUAUGCACCUAAAAUCUAGUGAUGAUGACGCUCUCAUAUAUGCCCAAACAAAUCAUGCAUGCAGAAUAGGUAAAACAAAUAUCAUAGAUGCCAAUAUUAAUUCCAAGGUAAACCCAUACAGGAAAGGAAGACUUGAGUGAAAAAACCAUAUAGAAACCAUACCCCAUUUGAAACCAGGAAGAUUCAUCAAGCCUUGAGAAGGAUCAAAAAAGAUAUCGAGGGAAGACGAAGCUAAGUCAUCAAAUAUCGAUGCAAAAGCUGGGGGCAGUAGUUGGCUACCUUUAGCAAUAGAAAUGGACCUCAUGGCAUACCUGGUUAAUUAUAUCAUUCUGAAAGUGAGGAUACCAUAGUUGCAAAACAAGCAAAACAUAAAUGAAGACCUUACCAUGAAUAAUGUUGUGCACAUCUUAUUAACAAUUCACGAAUUGUUACUAGAGCAUGAGUAACUGAGACACCAUUUAGCUCCACCGCCACCUUUUUUAUAGGAGGAACCUAUAGAAGCAAAAGAAAAGUUUAUAAGAAAAAGGAAAAUGACCCUACUCAAGAUGACACCAAAGAACGCAUGUUUCACUAUAUAAGAACAACUAAAAUCAAGCAAGCAUAUAUUAAGAGAGAGCACAGAACACAACUCUCACCUUUACCACACUAUGUAGCAAUGUUCUCAGAGCUUCCUGGGCUGAAUUAUAACUAGAAUAGGAUUCCCCAGGAACAAAAGUUGCAAAAAUCUGUAGGUAGANNNNNNNNNNNNNNNNNNNNNNNNNNNNNNNNNNNNNNNNNNNNNNNNNNNNNNNNNNNNNNNNNNNNNNNNNNNNNNNNNNNNNNNNNNNNNNNNNNNNNNNNNNNNNNNNNNNNNNNNNNNNNNNNNNNNNNNNNNNNNNNNNNNNNNNNNNNNNNNNNNNNNNNNNNNNNNNNNNNNNNNNNNNNNNNNNNNNNNNNNNNNNNNNNNNNNNNNNNNNNNNNNNNNNNNNNNNNNNNNNNNNNNNNNNNNNNNNNNNNNNNNNNNNNNNNNNNNNNNNNNNNNNNNNNNNNNNNNNNNNNNNNNNNNNNNNNNNNNNNNNNNNNNNNNNNNNNNNNNNNNNNNNNNNNNNNNNNNNNNNNNNNNNNNNNNNNNNNNNNNNNNNNNNNNNNNNNNNNNNNNNNNNNNNNNNNNNNNNNNNNNNNNNNNNNNNNNNNNNNNNNNNNNNNNNNNNNNNNNNNNNNNNNNNNNNNNNNNNNNNNNNNNNNNNNNNNNNNNNNCAAUUCAUCUUGCUUUGCAUAUCUCCUCCAAAAGAGAAGGUGCUCUAAUGGCUGUAUUUUUUGCAUAACUUUCUGAACAAAGGUUUUGAAAUGAGCACUAACAGAGGGUUCUGAGUAAUUUUCAGGCUGUUCACCACUUGACAAAGCCUUAUAUCGAGCUAUUUUCCGAGCCUGUGCAAUAGCUUCUGCAGGUAGCUCUUUCUCAAUGUCAAAAAUCACCUCCCAAUAGUGCUUAGCAGAUUUCAAAAUUACCUUGUCUCUUAGCAUCUUAAUAUCAGGUCUUUCCAAUAAGUGAUUAGGGGAAUAUUGAAUCAGCGACAAUAAAUACUCAUAGUGAUUCACAUAAUGCAUCCACAAACUAGUAAGGCUAACUAGCUUGUACCAUGAUAAUUUGGGAGAUGAAAUUACAUGGCCUAUUUUAAUUGCUGCUAUUCUCCAUAGAUACCGGCCACUCCUUACUCGCUUGAAUUCUUUUGAAGGCACUUUACUAACUUCCAUGAAAACAGGAAAAUCAACCGGAGAAAAUGAGAAACUUAAUUCUGAAGCACGAAGAUUGAACUCAACAAGUUCAAGAUCAUUUAACUUGAUGCAAGUAACCAGUGCAGUGGAGGAACAAACAUGGUUAAUUUGAUUGCUUUUCUUAUAUCCUAUCUUAAAGGAACUACCACUUACAACCAAAGAUCCCUCCUUCAGAGGUAGAAAGAGAACAUUAACAAGACCCUUGCAAAGGCAUCCAUGAACAAAAUGUAGAGAUUCUGCAUUAAGCUUCUCUAAAUCCAACAGGUAUACAAAGGAAUCGUCUAAAGUGGGAAAUUGUACUUGCAAAUUAAUACCAAGUAUCUGUAGACGGCAAUGUUGGAGAAUGAGAUUCAAAAAAGAAGACUGAAACCGAUUUCUCCCACAAGUAGUAGCCAAGAUUGCUUCCAAAAUAUCAUGCAGAGCACUACCCUGGUAAGGAAGAAAGCCUAAGUUACUUUGGCCAAGAUUAACACAUCAAGUAGUAAGAAAAGAAUCCUUAACUACAACGAGAUAACUGAUUUAAUAAUUUACCAUCCAACUCAAACACUAUGAAGCAAAAAGAUGUUAAACUAUUAGUUUAAAAGUAAUUAUGCAAUGAGCAACAAGUUUAACAGUGUAAAAUUGAAAUAAGGGUUUUUGCUAACAAGUGCCCUUAGGGCACUCAUUAAGGUUAGUUAAUAUACUAUCUAUAGUAAUUAUAUUAUAUUAAAUGCAGUAGUUGACAUCUUUAUUCUUGUUAAUGCAUGGCUGAAAAUGUUAGGAUAUAUAGUAACCUUGAAGAGUAACCUCAGAACAUCAGUCAGCAAAAUCCUGGAAGUAAAGGCAUCUCUAUCACGAUUCAAGGAGUUAAUUUUAACAUAAACUCAGUACUAAAAAAAGAAUGAAUAAUGCUACUUACUCCGCCACUCUUGUCCCAACUAUAACAGUUAACAACCCCGGAUGGAACAUACAGUUAGGCAUUACCAAUUCCGUUGAUGAGUUUAGUCAUUCAUAGCAAAAACAGCAGAGCUUUACUGCUUCUUAUUGUCACUAAGGUGCAACAUAGAAAGAUGGUUUCGUACUAGACAAUAAAAAUUUAAACAAAAUAAUGCCAAAAAUGGGGGGAGGGGAACCUCGGGAUCUAUCAGGGAUAAAUCCUUCUUCAAACUCUCUAACGCUGCAUUACUCGAAUUUCGCACUUUUGCAGUACCUUCCUCUUCCAUUUCCCUUUAAAAAAACACGACACAAUUAUUUUUUUUUUCAUAUUAACGAACAAAAGGUGCAAAGUUGUGACGUUGCUUACUCAAGCGACAUAGUAACCUUGACUCCACGAGCUUCGAAAACGAAGGCAGAAUCUGACCAAUUUGAGAAUCGAACAACGAACUCCUCGAUAACGAAUUCUUUGAAAAAGAACCGCGAAGAUGAUGAACCGUCUAUAAUCAGGCGGUUGAGAGUAGACGUAUCAAGGCGUAUGUUUUUGGCGACGGCGGUGGAAUUUAUGAACCCUAACUGGAGGUCUAGCUCGAGAUCUUGUUCCAGCCAUGGACGAAGCAAAGAUGAUAGUAUCCGUUUAAUGAAGUUAUUGAAGAACAUUUCCUUGAGGAUUUCGGUUACUUGAAGCGGGUUAAGUUGAUCAAUGUUUCUUCUAUUGGACAAAUAAGAGGAUUUUCGCGAGAAACGAACGGAAAAUUCAUUUUAUGAUGAGAGGAGAGAGCAAGAAAGUUCGAUUAUAUCACCAGAUUGAACAAACAUGCGCACUCAGCAUUUGUCUCCAUCUGCAAAUUAAAUUUUAGGCGUUAUCCUUUUCUUGUGUUUUGACGUUUUCCAACGAGAAAGUGAGCAAAUCCCACGGAUUUAUGGUAUUUAAUAUCAAAUAUAUAUUCAAUAAAGUUAUAUUUUAAAAGAUUUAAUAUAAUUUUGAAAUUAAAAUAAUAAUUGAUAACUAAGAUUCAUUAAAAAAUUUAAGAGUAUCUGAAAGUCUUUUUAGUUGAAUUUAAUUUAGUAAGAAAUAUGUUUGUUUUUUAUUAGAAUUACUAUUUGUUAUGUUGAUAGUGUAUUUUUUAUUCUAAAAGUAACUUUAAUAAAUUGUUAUAUAUAUAUAUAUAUAUCUUUUCUUUAAAUUUUUUUUAAUAGUUUACUAUAACUUUAUAACACACUUAUUAACCUUAUGUUUUUAUUUAUAGAGUUUAAAAAUUGCAUUUACAGUACACAAAUAUUUUUCCUUUUUAUUAUGUUUUAAAACCUUUGUUUCCUAAAAAACUUGUAAUUUUUACAUAGUUUUAAAUGAAAUAUUUAUUUCGAUUUAUCAAUUUAUGGUAGUAUUAUACAUAAUUAAUUUAUAUUAUAUAUAAUAUUAUACCUCUAGCAAUUAAUUAAAGAAUAUUUAUAAACAGUAUUAUGAUAUAAUAUUAUGUAUAUAAUCCAUUAAUAAAGUAUUUAUAAUGUUGUAUACAUGGAAAAUAAUUAUGUAAUAAGUUUAUUAAAACUUGAUAUGAAAAUUAUAUAUGACUCUCUUGAAAUAGUGAAGAUGCAGAAUGAAUGUAAUGAAAUUUUGGAUUCAAAUCCCAUCAUAUAUAUUUUAGAUUUUAUAUGGGGAGGAUGAAAUAAUCCUUAAAAUAUUAUUUAUUGUUUUGUUAAAAUGAUAGUCUUUUAGAAUACAAUGGAGAGUAACAGAAACCGUGAGGGUGGCCUAGCUCAAAGUAAUGGAGGCGAUAGGGUUACAAAAACAGUUAAGCUCCAAAAGGAUGGGCAUUUAAUGAUGGUGGCAUAGACAUUGAGACAUCAAAAGCAAUCCCAAUAUCUUUUAAGGACAAACUUUUAAACUGGAUAAGAAAUCGAAAGGAGGAAAAGAUUCACUCUUCGAGUAUGAUAUUGUGUUGAAGGAAAGUGACAUGGUUAAAGAGAACAUUGGGGGCUUGCCUACUAUCUAGUUCUCUAAGCAAGCCUAUGAGUUAGUGGAUCAAAGAAUGUUAUGAACAGUGGUAAUCAAACUCUUGUGGAGAAAAAUUAGGUUUAGUACACUAUGGAAUAAGAUUAGUUCUUUAUGGAAACCUUAAAGUUCUUUUCAGUUAACGGGCUUUAGAGAAUGAUUACUUCGUAGUCAAAUUCAAGUUUGCAGAUCAUUAAGUUAAAGCUUUAUCAAAAGGACCAUGGUUCAUUUUUGGACAUUAUCUAACUGUUUGAUCUUAAAGUUCAUCCUCUUCAACUUUACAACCAUACCCAUUGAAUGUUGUUGUAUGAAUUAGGCUUCCCAAUUUAUCAGUCUUUUUUUACAAAAAAUCAUCCUUAAUGAAAUUAAGGAGAUGGUUGGAAGUACGAUUAAAAUAUAUUACAAUACCGACAAUAGGAUUAGGGGUCGCUUUGCUCAUAUGGUAAUGCGUGUUGACUUGAACAGACCCCUUAUAUCCAAAAUCAGGAUUAAAGAAAAAGUUCAACGUAUUGAAUAUGAAUCACUUCCUAGUAUUUGUUUCUAGUGUGUGUGUUACAGCCAUGUCAAAGAGAUCUAUCCUACAAUUAAGGAUGGAGAUGGUUGUAGAGACAUGGAAGAUGCACCAACCAAGGAGUCGUCCGCAGCUUAUCAUGUAAAAAUGAAGGAAUAUGGUUCUUGGAUGGUGGUCGAAAGAAGGAGGAAGCCUAAUAAGAAAUAUUCCAAUAAUUGUAAUAAUCUCAAUUUUAGUGGGAUUAAUGUGAAUGUUUUGAGAUUUCUGUUGGAAAAAUCCAGUUUGAAAACAGUUUUCUUGCAUAACGAAAAAUGAUUUUUUUUUUAAAACCAAUCCGAUUUGUGAUAUUUAUAGCAAUAAACCUAGACUGAAUUCGCACUUGUGUUUUCAGAUAGACGAAUCCUUGUCAUUCUCGACUUUCAACUAAACGAUCUUCUCUGCUAUUCUCGUACCACGAACUGCCUCGAGUGUGGGUUCAAAUGUUUCAAAUCAAAACACAAAACUAGAAAUAGUUUUCUUUUUUUAGGGUGAAAACAAAAAUUAUCUUCUCAAAUAGAAGUCUGUAGAAUAAUUAUUCCGAAAAAUAUAUUUAAUUCUUAGAGAAUAAAAUUCUCUCUAUUUUUGAGCAGAAUAACAAUAUCUGAAAGUUAUGUAAAUAGCUCAUAUUGGUGCUAUCUAUUUAAAUGAGAGAAUGUAAAACCUUAUUGAAUUGUAGAAGUUUAUUUCAACUAGAAAAACAAACUCCUAGUCUAACUAGGAGUAUAGGAGUUAAAAAUACUAGGGUUUGACAUCCCACCCUUUUACAUAAAGGACUUUUGGGUCUCUUCCAUAUUGGGUCCAAUUACAAGUACUUUUUGAGCUUUAAACCCAAUAAUUUAUAAUUUAAUCUAACUAAAUAUUUGUUUUCCUAUAUCCCAAAAUAACCUUCAAAUAUUUAUAAUUAAAUAAUUUUCCCAACCCAAUUCUACUUCCGCUAAAAUAAUGAAGACUUUACCAUAAAAGAAUCUAUAAAAAAUAUAUUUGUGGUUCCGUAUAUAACUACCUCCUUUAUGAUAUGAUACUUUCGAUCUGUAACAGCCUAUUUUUUUGUGGUGUUGGAAUAGUGAUUUUGGGGUCACAAAUCUAAUGUAUGAGCCCGUAAAUAUUAUUAUUUAAUAUUUACGAGUAAUAUAUAGUGUAAUGAUAAAAUUUUGAUUUAAUGAUUUAUGUUAAAUGGAAGAAUAAUUAGGUUCAAGUGGUAAGACCUUAAAGUCAUGUCGUUUUAAAAAAUAAGGUAUUGGGCCAUCGUUUCCAUAAAAUGAGUCGUAAAUAUUUUAUUAAAUAUUUAUGGAGUGUUAUUAAAGUCAUAUUAAAGUUUCGUUGAGAAAUUUUGAUGUUUAAAUGACGAAUUAGGUAAAAAAGACUAAAUCAUAAAAAGUGUAAAAGUUGAGUUCUAUUAGUUAAAGGGAUCUAAUAGCUUUAAAAUCUUAAACUAAAGGACUUGAAUGGUAAAUAGACUAAUUAAGGUUAUAGUGGAUGUGCAUGGACAAGGUAUUGAUGUAAUUUUUUAUUAUUAGUAAGGGUAAAAUGGUAAUUUGGUAAAUAAAGUAAAAUAACUAAAAGAAUUACAUUCAUCUUCUUCCCCAUUUUCAUUUCACCAUCGAAAAUCACCAUGGAUAUAGGGUAUGAGCUUUGGUUAGGCUUCCAAUUUGCAUGUAAGUCCAUUUUGCACUUUUUUUAAUGAUUUCUAUGUUUUUGAUGUAAUUUUUAGCUUAAUCUAGCUAGCCCGAUGAUCAAUUUGUAAAACUGCUAAAGAUUGAGGGCUAUGCCAUGAAUGUUCUUGAAUGGUUAUUGAUAUUAAAUCCUUGAAUGGUUAUUGAUAUUAAAUUCUAGAUUAUGAACCUUUGUUGAGAAAUAAACAAGUUUUGUAAAGUGAUUUUUUAUGAAAUUUACAUAUAAGGAUUGAUUUGUAAAAAUAGUAAAAGUUCGUGUUAAAUUUAUGAAAUAAUGAUUUGUACGGGUUGGUUUAAGUCCAUAAAGAAAUUGGUUAGUCUAUGAGAGGGAUUAGAAUGCUUAAAUUUCAAUUUAUGAGCUUAAAGACUAAAUUGUGAAAAGUUAAAAUGUUAGGGGAAAAAUAGUAAUUUUGCAUAAAUAUGAAAUGUGGACUAAGUUGAAUACUAUAAGUAUUAAAUGGAUUGAAAUUGUCUAUUUAGAUCAACAUAAACCACGUAUGGACCUAGAUCGAGGCAAAGUAAAAGUUUCAGAAUAGCUCGUUAUAACCUUUACGCCCUUAGUUGUUAAGGUAAGUUCGUAUGAACUGUAAUCGUUAUGAUGUUAUUUGAAUUAAAUGUUUAUUAUGUUAUUUAUAACGUCAAAUGAUCAAUGUAUAAUUAAAUCGAUGCAAUGAUGGUUAUCGAGUCCCGGUUGAACCUUAGGCCGCGUGACAGCCCGUGUCUCAGGCUGUGUGCUACACAAUUUGACCCUAUAAACAAGCCAUUUUAAGUCCAAAACUUGCCCAACCAUCUACUCCAUUUGUGCAUACAUUUAAUAGACCUAAACACAUUUCAAACACAUAUAAACAUACCAAUUCAUUCAAUCUAAUUCUCCUAACCAAUAUGUCAUUCAAAUGCACCUUAUUUAUACCAAAACAAGUUCAAUCAGAACAAAUCUAUAAUGCCAUAACUCAAGUACAAAACAUAGUCAAUUUAGCUACCUAAUGACAUCAAUUGCAAACCAUUCACCUUUCAUAAAACAUACCAAAUUAACGAUAUUCAUAUGGCUUUUAAUAUAUAAACAAACCAACUACACCAAAUAUUACAAAGUACUUAAAAGUGAUAAAAGUACAUAAACUUUCCAAAACAGCAUAAGUCCACACAAACAAAAUGUAUACAUAAAAGACAUAUUCAUACCAAAUUGAUCAUUAGCAUAUUCAAAAACUACCAUCAUAUAAAGCCUUAUACAUGUCAUUUAUAACCUUAGCCAAAAUAACUCAAAAACUACCGAAGUGAUUACUGGAUAGUGUGAUAGAACUCCGACAAACUUCCAGCCGAUCGAGCUUCCGACAAUCUACAAAACAGAGGAAAAUAACUACGUAAGCAUUUAGUGCUUAGUAGGCUCGUAUAAACUCAAACAUAAACUUACCCUUCUUAAACUCAUUUUAUGAAAUAUGCAUAGCAUCAUUAUCGUACUCAUAAGCUUAAUAAUAUCCUAUAUACACCACCAAACUCACAAGUUAGUAAGCUCAUGCAUAACACAUAUAGAAAAUCAACCCUAUCAUAAGUGAAUCUCCAUAUCCAUAUCAUUCAUCACAUACUUAUUUUGUUCCAUUCAAAUCAUUUGCAUUCAUCAAAUUUACCUUCUCAUAAGAUUAUGAUCAAUUAUCCAAUUGUAUACAUACCUUGCCAUUAACCUUACCUGUUGAACCAUCUAGAAUUUCAUUGGGUACUCGGGAAUGCUCACAUAUAGUGUGCCUUUCCAUAUAUCCAUGACCUUUCCUUUUCAAUAGUGCCCACACGAGCUGUGAAAUGAGCCUGCUCACACGAUUUGUGGGUCGAAAUGUUAGCUACACAAUACUGCUUACACGAGCUGUGAAAAAUUUGCAACAAAUACAGGACCUCAACCAUUAGUAGGACAUUCAAAACUAGCACCCCAAACAUGAAAUCCCUAAUGACAUGUCAUUUGUAUCCUAAGAAUUUUGAAGGUUUAAACAGGAUUAAAUAACCAUUAAUUAUUCAAGACACCGAUAUAUAUUAUUUUUCAAGUCAGUUUAUAACUAACAUAAUAUAACAAAUAAUCAAUCAAACUAUCAUUAAUAAGAUUAUAAUUCAUAAGAGCUUACCUCGAUAACUAUAGUCGCCAAAAGUAGAAUUGAAAACUAUUCCAAAGCUUUUGUUUUUCCCCGAUUUAAGUCUGAUUGUUGCUUAUCUUGAUCUAAAUAAAUAGUUUUAAUCAAUUAAGUACUUCAAAUAACCUUAAGUAUUCAAUUCAAUCUAUAAUUCAUAUUAUCAUAAAAUUACAAAAUUACCCUCCUAUUUUAACUUUUUCAUAACUUGGUCCUUAAGCUUGUAACUUGAAAUUUAACCAUUUUAACUUAAACCCAUGAUAACCAAUUCUUCCCUAAGCUUAAAUAAUCUACAAUUUUCCAUGAUUUUGUGCAAUAUACAUGAAAAUAUUCAAUUAAGCAAUUUAAUCCCUAAACCUUACAUUCAUCAAAUUCCACUUAACAAAUCAUGGUCAUUUAACAAUAAAAAUUAAUAAACUAUCAGUUAACAUCACAACUACAUCAAUUUCAUUCAUGGCAUAUCCUUCAAACUUAAAUAGUUUUGCAAUUUAACCCUUAAGUUAAGUAGUUUAAGCUAAAACGAGUUCAAAAACAUAAAAAUUACUAAAAACGGGUCUUGAAUACAACCAUGCAAGUGAAUUAACAAAAAUCCAAGCUUUUCUCCCCUUUUCAAUGGUGUUUUUAGUUAGACCAGAAAAAGAGAAAGAAGAUGAUAGCCUUUGUUUUAUUUAUUUCAUGUUUAUUUGAUUAUUUAAUCUUUUGCCUUUAUAUUAUAACUUAAAUACUAACAAAAACAUGUCCAUAUUUGUUCGCUAUCAACAUAUUGGUAUAAUUACCAUAAAAUUUCAUUAGCUUUCCUUUCCAUAUCCAAAUUACUCAUUAAACUAAUAUAAUUUAACUUUUACUUCUAUUACAAUUUAGUCCUUUUUACCUAAUUAACUAUUUAAACUUCAAAAUUUCUUAACGAAACUUUAAUACGACUCUAAUAUAACCCUAUAGACCUUAAAUAAAUAUUAAAAUAUUUACUUCCUUAUUGGAAUCGUGGUCUCGAAACCACUAUUUCCAACACUACUAAAAAUGGGUUGUUACACAUAUGGGUGUGUGGGAGGCCGUGUAAGCCAUACGGUCGUGUGGGCCCAAUUCUCAAAAAUUUACCAUAGGUUUGUCAUGCAAAUCAAAUUUAGCCCUUCUGUAGGGUAUGUAUGGUAUAAUUUGUCUAUAAACCAUGAUUUCUAAUGCUCUAUUCUGUUAAAUGUGACUUAUAAACGCAUGAGAUAUAUGUUAUAUGUAAUAGCAUGAUGUGUUUUAUGUUAAUAUGACCUGAAUAUGAUGUGUAUAGCAUGUAUGUCAUACAUGCAUUCGAUAUCUAUUUAAUUUUGCAUGUGCAUUAGGGGGAUUAUGAUUAUGAAGGAAGUUUUGGCAGUUUAAUUUAUCUGCCUUAUUUGGUGGCUCAAUCACGUGUAUCUGUUUCUGGCGGAUUACUGCGUAAGGAUCUGGCAGCUAGACUGCAAAUUUUCUGAAAAAUGACUCACGAUCACUUAGCGGUGUGUGGGGUUGGAUAGGUAUUUAAUACCCUAGCUAGUGUGUAAGGAUGGUCGAAGAUGGUGUGUAGCAGAUGGGGGUAGGAUUUGAAUCUGUAUUGUAAUAGCCUAAAUUCAAGGUUAUCGAAUCAGUGAUUUCGUAACCACAAAUCCGAUUUAAAGAGAAAUUUAUUUUAAUAUUUUUUCAUGAAUAUUGAUAUAAUAGGAAAAUCGUAUGAAAAUAUCGAUAGAAAAAUUUUACCGAUUUAGUGGUUAGUUAGAAAAAGAAAUUAUUGAAGAAAUCAGAUAAAAACAAGGUAUUGAGAUCUCGAUCUCAUAAAACCGAGUCAGAAAUAUUUUUAUAAAUAUUUAUGAAAUGUUAGUGAUGUGGUAUUAAAAUUUCGUUAGAAAAUUUUAAUGUUUGGGUAGUCAAUUAAGUGAAAAUGACUAAAUUGGAAAAGGUGUAAAAGUAGCUAGAAUGAUUAAAUUUAUGUGUCUAAUGAGAAAGGAUUUAAAAGGUAAUUAAACCUAAAAUUUAUUUGGGCUGGAUGGCAAGGGCAUGAAACCAGCAGGAAAAUUGAUGAUUUAAGGGCAAAAUUAGAAUAUUGCAUAAUUAACUAAAUAAAGAUAAGACUAAAUAGGAAAUAUCUAGAUUUCUCUUCAUUUCUUUUUAUUCUCAUCAGCCAAAACACCAUAGGAGGGGUUCUUUAGGCUGGUAUUCUAUAAUGUUUGCACCAAGUGGGUUAAUCCUUGCCUUUUUCUUAUAAGUUUUGUGUUUUUAAGACUUUUACAACUAGGUCCUACUAUUAAAUUCAUUAGUUUUUUAUUUCAUGGAUGAAAUUUAAAGUCACCAUGGUUGAGUGCUGUAAGUUUAUGAUGAAAUAGCAUGAAAUUUAAGCUUUAAUUUAUUUAUGAGUUGAUUUUAUUAGGUAAUUUCAAUAGAACUUGAUUUUUAGGACCUAAUUGUGAAAAUAUUUGGAAUUAAAAUCUAGUGCUGAAAUUCUGAUUCCCAAAGGUUAUAAAGUGGUUUAAAGUGAUAGAAUUAAGUGUUAAUUGAGAAAAAUCAGCUCAAUUGAGAGGCUAAUUGAGUAGGGAUGAAAUUAUCAUUUAUUAAAAGUUUAGGGGAAAAUGGUAAUAAACAUCUUGCACGAAAAUAGUUUUGGACAGCAGUAGUAGGAUGACUUUGAAAAAUCACCAUAAAAUUUGAAAAUCGAAUUAGAAGAUGAAAAAAAUAUGGAAUUAAAACUUAUUGAGUCUAGUUUCUCAUAGAAGAAACGGUGUAAGAAAUGGAAUUGUUAAUUAUGAGAUAUUAUAAAUUUUGUGAGACAAGGUCAAAAUGAAUUCGGGUUCCCCUGUUUUGACUUUUAAAAAUCAUAAAAAAUUUAAGAAAAAAAUAAAUAUAGGCUUAAAUUUAUAUUUUUAUAAUUAAAAAGAAUGAGUCUAUUUUCAAGAGAAUUAAACGAUAAUAUCAUCUGAAUCCUGUAUGAAGAGAUAAUUCAUUUUUAAUGAAGAAGGGUCAAAAUUGUCAGACAGCAGAAGAGGGGUGACUUUAAAGAAUAAAAUGUACUUAUUGGCUAAACCAAAAAUUCUGAAAAUUUUAUGGUAAGAAGAUGUAUGAGUCUAGUUUCAGGGAAAAUUAUCGUAUCCUAAUUUGGAGUUCUUUAACUCAAGAUAAAAAUAAUUUAGUGACUAUGACUCAAGUAGACAGCUUUGAAUGAACUAUAAAUAAUAGUGGAAUUAUAGAGAAUGUUGCAUAUUAACAUGAAAUGUAUUAAAUUGAUGAUUAAAUUUAUUUAUUUAGAUCUAGAAAAUUCAAAUACGAAGCUAGAUCGAGGAAAAAAAAAGUUCGGGAUUAGUAGAUUUGUGUAUACGAACAAGUAUCGAGGUAAGUUCAUGUAACUUAAAUUAUAUUUUUAAAUGCUUGAAAUGUAUGUUAUUGAUGUGAAUAUGAUUUUAAUAUUAAUUGUAUGAAAAUGAUGAAACAUUGAUAUAUUUGAUAAAAGGGGAAGAAAUCUCGGUUGAAUGAAAGGAAAAUUCGAUAGAUCUCUGAAAAGGAAUUGACGGUAAAAAGGAUCUAGCCCGAACGGGUGAUCCUAUCUUGAUAUAGCCCUUCCAAAGAAUAUGUGGAAAAUGGAUUUAGCCCGGACGGGUAAUCCGAAUUAGGGUCUGAAUUUAGCCUGGACUGGUAAUUUAGAUCCAAGCUCAUUAGAGUAAUUGUCGUUGCAAGGGAUUUAGCCUAGACUGGUAAUCCCGACAAUACUCUAUGAGUUUAUAUUACAGGGGAUUUAGCCUAGACUGGUAAUCCCACUAUAAGGAUGAAGUUUGCGGGAGUGUGCUCUUUGAAAUGGAAAUGUGCGCACAUGAAUAUGAAUUGACGGACCCGGAAUUACACACUAAAAGUGUACCUCUGAAAAAUCCAUCCAAAUUCCGAGAAAUUCAACGGGAUAAAUAUUAAAAAAUAACAAGGGAAUGAAAAUCAUGGUAUUGAUGAGCUUAUCAAUUAUUGUAUAUAUUACUGAUACAUGGAAAUUAUUGAACUAACUUGAAUGUUGAGUUUGUGCAUGUUAGGGUAAUAAUGCAUUGAAUGGAUAUUUGAAUGUUUAUUGCAUUGUAUUGAAAAUAUUAGUAAGUAUAAUUCUUGUUACAUGAGCUUACUAAGCACAAAGUGCUUACCCUGUUUUCUUUUCCCCUGUUUUGUAGUGUUAAGAGCUCGGAGAUCAGAUUCGGUUGGAGACACAUCACACUAUCAACCUCAAGAUUUCGGUAUAUAAAGAAACUUUAUUUUGGAAAUUAAUGCAUGUAUAAGCUAAUAUAGUAAAUGUUAAUGUGAAAUGAUUGUAAAGUCAGCCAUUGGUAUGGCUAACAAAUCUUAAUUUUGGUAUAUGAUGAAGUUAUCUUAUAAAUAUGCAUGAAUCUAUCUUGAAAAUAUGUUGAAUUGGAUUGGUUGAUGUAGAUUGGUCUCAGUUUAAAAUUGCAGGGAAGGUUAGAUAUCUAUAAAGGGGUUAUAUUGAGUUAAAAAAAUUAAUUCGUAAAUUCUGAUAAUGCCUCAUACCUUAUUCCGGCAACGAAUACGGGUAGGGGGUGUUACAUGUAUGUUAUGCAUUUGUUUCUGUAUCUGUAUAUGAAAUAUAUCUAGUUGGUACCUAAAUGCUUAUUUGCUAUAAUAUCUGAUGAAUCAUGUGUAUAUGAUUUAUUGUUUAAAAUAAGUUACACACUAAGCUCGUAAGCUCACUUUCUGUUUGUUUGCUAUCAGGUAAUCCAUAGACUUAGGGCGGAUCAGUGCAACGGAAGCUUAGUUAUUUAUUAUUAUUGCGUUUCUUUUAACUUGUUCAUAUCUGUUUUGCUCGUGGAUUGUUUUUGGACUUUUGGGGAUUGUUUUUAAAGUUUGGAUUUUAUUUUCCAUUUUAAAAUUGUUUUAACGUUUAGAUUAUAUUAAUUCUAUCUGCAAAAUGUUGGAUUUUCAAUGACAAACCACGUUUUCUAAAGCUAAAUUUAACUAAGAAAUUCUGCUGCAAACUUAAGUGUUUUAUAAAUAUAUAUAAUCGAAAAAUUUAAUGAAAUAGUUAAGAGAAGUAUUUUUCCAAAUAAACUGGAAUUUUUGUUUAUCACAAGCUAGCACUAUUUUUACAAGUCUCAAUUGGCUUCUAGAUUUUUAAAUAAUCAUGGUAACAUAUCCAGAUUUGGCCAUAACGUCUAAGUCAGGUUUGAGGCGUUACAUCCAAUGAAUAAAUUCUAACUAUCUAUAAUUACUCUUGAUAUACUUACUAAGUUCCUUGAGCUUAACGUGUUUCUUUCAACGUGUAAGUGUAGAACAUUUUGAGGAAAGUAGGCAAGAAGCAACUCCGACUCAUCUCAUCACAUCUUCCGACCAAAGGAAGUAUUGAAUUUUACAUUUUGGUAUAGUCUUGGUAUGUACAUAGGAAUCAUUGAAAGUGCUUUAUGAGUUUGGGAAUUAAACUUUUGGGGUAAUGAACCUUGAUGAUGAAUUGUUGUAUUUUGGGUAUGCUCUUAAUAGCUUAUAAUGAUAGAAGAAAUUAGUAAUGGUUGAAAAUGGUGUAGCUUACUACAGGUCGUUUCUGGUAUGAGCCAGUUCUGUAUUUUUUUUAACAUCAAACUUUAUAUAGGUAUCGAUACCUAAGUUAGAGUAUCGAUACUUGUUACAAGGUACUGAUACUUUAGUGAAUGUAUCGAUACUAUUGAUUCCGAUUUAUUUUUUUCAAACAUCUAAGCUCAAAACCAUUUUGGACAUCGAUACUGAAUAAUUUAGUACCGUUACCUUAUUGUGGGUAUCAAUACUUUGAGUUUCCAUCCAAAUUUUCUAAAAUACUAAAGCUAAAUUUGGCAUCAAUACCAUGAAAAGGUAUAGCCAAGGUACUGAUACCAAUAAAUUGGUAUCAAUAUUUUACAUUUUGAAUAAAAUAAAAAUUUGAAUAAAUAAUUAAAAAUUUUGUAUUGGGUAGUGGGUAAAUCUAAACUUUAAGUGCAAGUACAAUUUUUGUAACCGGUAUUGAUCUAGUGUAGUCGCCUUAGCGACAAAUGUGAUAUUUCGAGACUUUGAGCCGAUUAGCGUACAGGUUAAGAGGUAUUACAAUAUACAUCUAACAUACAAUUAAGAAGCAGAAAUUCAAUCAUUGAUAAAAUGAUUCGAUAAUCACAAUAUCAAUUUCAUCAUCUCAAGUUUUUAAAGAAAAAUACGUUUACUUGAACAUUUAUUUUGUAUUCAAUUAUAUGUGAUCAAUUGUUUCAACUAAGUAAUCAAAGAAACGAAAUAAUCGAAGAUGAAUUGUUAAAAGCACAAUUCGCAAAAACUAUUCGAUGGUUUUUUUUCUCUUGAUCGAAUGCUAAGACAACAAAUAAAGGAAGGUUUUUCUUUUCUUCUUUCAAGUUUGGACCACACUAAGUGAUAAAAAUGACUUAUGUUUUCUUUCACCUACUUAUGAUUGUAUAUAUGUAUAUGUAUAUGUAUAUAUAUAGUUUAAUGAAUUAAUUAACUUAAAAUAAUUAAAUUAUCCAUUAAUGUAAACCGUUACUAAUAUAUUAUAAUGUGAUGGAUAGUUAGUCAACUUAAUCAUUCCAACGCACUAAUUCAACAUUGAUUUGGUCAAAUUGUUUUAUAGUCUCUCACCUAAUUUCUAACUAAAUCCCUUUUCAUGUUCUAAAUUAAAAAUUCAUUAAUGAUUAUACUUUUGUAAUUUAAUCCCUAUACUAUAAUUAUCAAUCAAUUUAUUCUAAUUCUACUAAAUAAUUUAAUCUAUUAUUAUUGUAGAUGACACAUGAAUUUUCACUUCUAGACCUAACCAUCUCGGUUUAGCAAUUGACUCGAAAAUUAGGUUUUUCCGACUUAAAAAUUAGGUCAUUACAAAAUCUAUUUUUAGAAUAACAAAAAUUUUCUCAACAACAUUUUGAAACUUUGAGUGUCUCAAAUGAAACUAAAAUGAAAGAGUUAGUGUUGUCAAAAAAAAAAUUUUAACACUUUUUUAUUAUAAAUAAGUAUAUAUAUAUUUAUAACGUAUAGCAUGUACAAAUAUAUAAGUUAUGUUCAUACUUUUGGGUCAAAAUCGUUCAUAAAUAAGUAUAUUAUAACAUGUUUAGUUUUUUAUAACACAUAAAUUAUUUUUUAUAAUAUACUUUUUUUUCCAUAAGUUUAGAAAUUUUUUAGAAUUUAAACAAUAUAAUUUUUUGUUAUAACUUUAUAAAAUACAAAUAAAUUCUUUUUAGAAUAUAAUCUUUUUAAGAUUUAUAAUAUAACUUUAGAAUUUUUUUUACCAUAAUCAUCCUAAACACUCAUACGUGUUCAUGCAUAUAAUAUAUUUUUUUUAUAACUUAAACUUGUAUAACAAAUAAUUUCUUGAUGUUAAAUUGUAAUGGCCUAAAUUCAAGGUUAUCGGAACAAUGGUUUCGUAACCAUAGAUCCGAUUUAAAGAGAAAUUUAUUUCAAUAUUUUUGCUUGAAAAUUGAUAUGAUAGGAAAAUCGUAUGAAAAUAUUGAUAGAAAAAUUUUACCAAUUUAGUGAUUAGAUAGAAAAAGAAAUUAUUGAAGAAAUUGGGUAAAAACAAGGUAUCGAGACCUCUAUCUCGUAAAAACGAGUCAAAAAUAAUUUUAUAAAUAUUUAUGAAAUGUUAUUAAUGUGGUAUAAAAUUUCGUUAGGAAAUUUUAAUGUUUGGGUAAUCAGUUAAAUGAAAAGGACUAAAUUGUAAUAGGUGUAAAAAUUGCUAGAGUGAUUAAAUAGCUUAAGAGUCUAAUGAGAAAGGAUUUAAAAGGGAAUUAGACCCAAAAUUUAUUUGGGCUGGACGGCGAGGGUAUGAAAUCAGCAGAAAAAUUGAUAAAUUAAGGGUAAAAUUGGAAUAUUGCAAAAUUAACUAAAUAAAGCUAGGACUAAAUAGGAAAUAUCUAGAUUUCUCUUCAUUUCUCUUCAAUUUCGGCAGCUAAAAACGCCAUAGGAGGGUUAUCUAAGCUGAUAUUUCAUAAUUUUUGCACCAAGUGAGUUAAUCCUUGCCUUUGUCUUGUAAUUUUUGUGUUUCUAAGACUUUUACAACUAGGUACUACUAUUAAAUUCAUUAGUUUUUGAUUUCAUGGAUGAAAUUGAAAGUCGCCAUGGUUGAGUUCUGUAAGUUUAUGAUGAAAUAGAAUUAAAUUAAAGCUUUAAUUUGUUUAUGAGAUGAUUUUAUUAGGUAAUUUCAAUAGAAAUUGAUUUUUAGGACCUAAUUGUGAAAAUGCUUGGAAUUAAAGUCUAUUGCUGAAAUUCUGAUUCCUAAAGGUUGUAAACUAGUUUAAGGUAUAGAAUAAAAUGUUAAUUGAGAAAAAUCAGCUCAAUUGAGAGGCUAAUUGAGUAGGGACGAAAUUAUCAUUUAUUAAAAGCUUAGGGGAAAAAUGGUAAUAAACAGCUUGCACAAAAACAGUUUGGACAGCAGUAGUAGACUAACUUUGAAAAAUCACCAUAAAUUGUAGAAAUCAAAUUAGAAGAUAAAAAAAAUAUGGAAUUAAAGCUUAUUGAGUCUAGUUUCUCAUAGAAGAAAUAGUGUAAGCAAUGGAUUUGUAAAUUUUGAGAUAUAAUGAAUUUUGUGAGACAAGGUCAGAAUGAAUUCGGGUUCCCCUGUUCUGACUUUGAAAAAUCAUAAAAAAUUUAAGAAAAACAAUUACGGGCUUAAAUUUAUAUUUCUAGAAUCCUUAAUGAGUCUAUUUUUAAUAGAAACAAACGAGAACAUUAUUUGAAUUCUAUAUGAAGAGAUAAUUAAUUUUUAGUGAAGAAGGAUCAAAACUGUUGACAGCUGAAUAGGGGUGACUUUAAAGAAUAAACUGUACUUAUUGGCUAAACCAAAAAUUCUGAAAAUUUUAUGGUAAAAAUAUAUAUGAGUCUAGUUUCAGGAAAAAUUAACGGAUCUUAAUUUGGAGUUCCGUAGCUAAAGUUAUAAAUAAUUUAGUGACUAUGACUCAAGUAGACAGCUUUGAAUGAACUAUAAAUAAUAGUUGAAUUAUAGAGAAUGUUGCAUAUGAACAUGAAAUGUAUUAAAUUGAUAAUUAAAUUUAUUUAUUUAGAUCCGGAAGAUUCAAAUACCAAGCUAGAUCGAGGAAAGGAAAAAGUUCGGGAUUAGUAGAUUUUUACUGUUUACAAACAAGUAUCAAGGUAAGUUCGUGUAACUUGAAUUAUAUUCUUAAAUGCUUGAAAUGCAUGUUUUUGAUAUGAACAUGAUUUGAAUGUUCAUUAUAUGGAAAUUUAUGAAACAUUGAUAUAUUUGAUAAAAUGGGAAGAAAUCCCGUUUGAAUGAAAGGAAAAUUCGAUGGAUCUCUGAAAAGGAAUUGACGGUAAAAAGGAUCUAGCUCGGACGGGUGAUCCUAUCCUGAUAUAGCCCUCUCGAAGAAUAUGUGUAAAAUGGAUUUAGCCCGGACGGGUAAUCCGAAUUAGGGUCUGAAUUUAGCCUGGACUGGUAAUUCAGAUCCAAGCUCAUUAGAGUAAUUGUCGUUGCAGGGGAUUUAGCCUGGACUGGUAAUCCCGAAAAUACUCUAUGAGUUUAUAUUGCAAGGGAUUUAGCCUGGACUGGUAAUCCCGCUGCAAGGUUGAGGUUCGCGGGAGUGUGCUCUCUGAAAUGGAUAUGUGCGCACAUGAAUAUGAAUUGACGGACCCGGAAUUGUACAAUAAAUGUGUACCUCUGAAAAUCCAUCGAAAUUCUGAUAAAUUCAACGGGAUAAAUAUGGAAAAAUAGCAAGGAAAUGGAAAUCAUGGUAUUGACGAGCUCAUCAAUCAUGGUAUAUAUAUUAUUGAUAUAUGGAAAUUAUUGUACUAACUUGAAUGUUGAGUUUGUGCAUGUUAGGGUAAUAAUGCAUUGAAUGGAUAUGUGAAUGUUUAUUAUAUUGUAUUGAAAAUAUUAGGUAAGUAUAAUUCUUGUUACAUGAGCUUACUAAGCACAAAGUGCUUACCCCGUUUCCUUUUUCCCUGUUUUGUAGUGUUAAGAGCCCGAAGGUCGGAUUUGGUCGGAGACACAUCAUACUGUCAACCUCAGGAUUUCGGUAUAUAAAGAAAUUUUAUUUUGGAAAUCAAUGGCAUGAAUAAGCUAACAAAGAAAAUGUUAACGUGAAAUGAAUGUAAAGUUAGCCAUUAGUAUGGUUAACAAACCUGGUUUUAGAUAUGUGAUGAUGUUAUCUUAUAAAUAUGCAUGAAUUUAUCUUGAAAAUAUGUUGAAUUGAUUUGGUUGAUGUGGAUUGGUCUCGAUUUAAUAUUGCAGGGAAGGUUAGAUAUUUAUAAAGGGACUAUAUUGAAUAUAAAAAAAAUUUAAUUCGUAAACUCCGGUAAUGCCUCGUACCCUAUUCCGGCAAUGAAUACGGGUAGGGGUAUUACAUAAAUCAUGUAUAAGUGUUUGGAAAGCCAUAGGGUAAUUGAAUUUGAGUGUAAUUAUCCACAUAAUUACAACAAUUACACCCAAUUUAGUGAGACCCAUCAAUUAUAAUGGUCACCCAAACAUGUCACAUGUAUAUAAUUACAAGCAAUUAUACUCAAAUCCAUUUACUAGGUGGCUCUCCAAAUACUACUUUAUCUUUACUCAUGAUUUCAGGAUUUUAAGGUUGAUCUUAUUAUCACCAAUAUUGUAUGCCUCAACUAUAAAUUUCAUGUUUUUUUAUAUAUUUUUUGAAUUUUUAUUAUAAGGUUUUGAAAUUUUAAUAUUUUUAUUUAAUUUAUUUUUAAAUUUUUUACUAUUUUACUAUUUUUAUGUAUUUUGAGAUUUUUUAAAAUUUUAAUUUUUUUUUUAAAAUUUGAUUAAAUUAAAAGAAAGUGAAAAAAUUGAAUCCAAAUUUGUUUUUAAAAAAUAGAACUAAAUUGAUAGAUUAUGUAAAAUGUUAAGGGCUAAUUAUGUUAUUGUACCACUCAAAAGAAAUUCACAUCAAUAUUUUCGUCUAAUGACCAAAGCAUUUUAACGAAGAGUGACUAAAAAAUGAAAUUAAGUAAACAAGAGUGACUGAAUUAAUAAAAAAGAAAUUAAAUAACCAAAAUAUAUUACUAUUUAAAUAGUUUACCCUUCUCCUUUAUUUCGGAUUAUAGAGCAAAUUUUGAUGAUUGUACCUUUAAAAUGAGUAUAAAGAGUUUUUGCUAGAAAAACAAGUAGAAUGAUAUUGUUUGAAAAUGUGUUAAAAUGCUAUUCGUUUUAUGAUAUUGAUUUAAUUAAAUAAUGCAUCAUUAGUUUAAAUAUGAUAUAGUAUUUUUACCCGUAUUUUUAAUUUUAUGUUUUAUGCUUUUAUAUCUUAAUUUGAGCACAUACAUGAAAUUAGAAAUCGAGUUAAAUGUAACUCUUUAAAUUAAAUUACAAUGAUUGAAAAUAUGACUUCUCACUUAAAAUCUUACUUUAUAUUUCAAGAAAAUAUUUAAUACACUAUUAGUAGAGUUUUUAGAUUCCACAAGUAGAGUUUGAGGUUGACAAGUGUCCUAUAAAAGUAUAAUAAAAUAUUAAAAAUAAAUAUUUUAAAAAUGAGAUACAUGUCAAUUUUUUAAAGUUACUUGUGAAAUAAAAAAAUUACACCAAACUAAGAAUCGAAAAAAGAAUGUCUAAGGAAAUCCCCUCUUCUUUGUCUCCGGCGGUUAAUGGAGACGAUGGAGAUCCCCACUCUGUUGAGGAUCGACCACUAAGAAAGUGAGGUUUAAGAGCAGAGUUGAUGUAGCUUCGGAUAUGGUUGUGGACCCUAAUCUGACUACAACGCCCUUGUGGAAGGAUAAGCUAUUGGGUGGAAAUCCGAACCAUCUUAUGAUGGAAUGAAAUGUUUCUUCCUUUGGAAGAGAUAAUGCAAGCAAUGGUGAUUUUGAUUUACGAGCAGACGAUGUGCAAACAUCCAUCAUCAAUGGAGUUUCAACCAUUAAUUUUUCUAAUCGGGUUAAAGAAAUUAUGUUUAAAGAAAUGGAAUUAACUAUGGUUAUCAAGCUCUUAGGGUGAAAUAUUGGUUAAAAUACUUUACAUAAUCACAUUACUAGUCUUUGGAAAAUUAUUUCCCCCUUUCAUGUCAUGGAUAUUGAGAAUGAUUAUUACUUGGUGCAUUUUGUGAAUAAGGCUGAUUAUGAUUAUAUCGUGUCGCAGGGACCUUGGAUAAUCUUUGGACAAUAUCUCACUGUUCAACCAUGGACAAAGGACUUUAGCCCUUCGCAACUGUAUCCCAGUAUGGUUUUGGCUUGGAUUCGGCUGCCAGGUUUCCCGGGGUUUUUGUUUCGUCAACAAAUUAUGGAGGCUAUUUGGGGGCUUAUCGGGAAGGUUGUCAAAUUGGACUAGGUCCAGAGGUUGUUUCGCUCGCUUUACAGUAUUCUUGAACCUCGAGAAGCCUCUGAUUUCUCAGGUCUUGUUUGAUGGCGCCGUUCAGAGAGUGGAGUAUGAGGUACUCCCUACUGUCUGUUUUGGCUAUGUCAAAUAUGGACACUUCAAGGACUUAUGUUCGACGAUGGUUGCUGAUUGUACCUUUGACUGCCCAUUGGAGUUGGUGAAUGUUGGUCGGCUGCGGCCGCUGGUGGUGUUGCUGAAGAAACGGGAACGGAGUUUGGUCCAUAAAUGUUGGUUGAGCGUAGAUCUUGGUGAGGUUUGAGGAAUGGACGAGGCGCUUCCGGAGUGAACAAUGGAGUGAUUAACGGAUCCAAAAAUCGUAAGAAGACAAACUCAAAUUUUUCGGUAUUAAUGGAAGGGGAUAAGAAUCGCGAUAUGAUCGCUGUAGCUGAUGAUAAUUUGUCGAUGGAAAAUGCUGAAAUGAAUGUUGAGGGAGCGGGGGUUUUUAUUACUAGGGUUGGGAGCAAAAAAUUGGGAGAUUUGGACUCUUCUGCUGGUCCAAGUAGUAAGCCCAUUUCGGGCUUUAGCUCUUCUAAGGGGGAUGCUGCAGCAAAGUUGGUAAUGCUGCCACAAAGUUGGUUUUAAUAGGUUCGGGUCGUCCAGGAGUUGGGCCUAUGGUGGAGUCUGUUAAGCAAGGUUUUCUGGGCUAGGAGAAUAUUAGGGAGUAAGGGAAAAAUAUAGAGAAAAGGCCAAUGAUGAGAAUGAGAAUGCACAGGUUUCGAAUGAAAAUCAUUCUACUAAUAAUUUUGUUUCUAAUUCUAUUUUAAAUUUUAGUGUUGCAAGACCUUCACCUCAAUUGUCUUCGGGUAAGAACUUGAUUUUGACUGAUGUUGAUCAUGGUGAUUUUCUUAUUGAGGCUUGAGAGGAUUUAAAUACUGGAAUUUUUGAUAACAUAAAAGCUCAUUUUAAUCCUGCUUUUGAAGGCUCUAGAGGUUCUCCUGUUCCCAUUUCUGAUGAUGUUUUGGACCCCGAGAAACAUUUUGCAAUUAGUUUUAAGGAUAAUUCUCAUAAGAAAGAAAAAAUAUUUCGGUUAAGUUAUCCCGGGAAAGGAAAUGUGACAGAAUUUCUGUUCCUAAAGAGAGGCAUGGAGGUAAAGAUUCCUUUAGGCGUGGUAGUCGAAAAGUUUCCAAUGCGUUGCAUGGUCAGGGAAGUCGUUUCAAAGCUUCUGGGAACUUCAGAGUACCGUUAGCUGAAUCUAUGGAGGAAAUGGCUAAACUCAUUUCAAAUUUGAAUUAUAGUAAUGACAUUAACUCUGAUUCAGACGACGCGACCUUGAUCACAGAUGGGGAUACUGUCUCUCGACAAAAAUAGGUAUGUUUCCUUUUUUUAUUAUAAUUUUUUUAUGAAUUUUACCAUUUUUUCUUGAAAUUGUCAGGAAUGUGCUAGCGAUAAGUUUCCUCGUAUUUUUUGGGAGUAUAAUCGGGAAUAUAGGCCUGAUAUUAUUAGUUUUCUUGAUAUGAGAGUUAGUGGUUCCAAAGCUGAUAAUAUUAUUGCUAAACUGGGGUUCCCUUAUUCUCAUUGCGUUGAAUCGAUUGGUUUCUCCGAGGGCAUUUGCAUUGGGUGGAAGGAUUUUGUUUGCUUUGAUAUCAUUUUAAUCACUCUCAGUUUAUUCUAGCUCGAGUGGGAUCGACACCUUCCUCAAAUGCAAUUUUCAUCUCUUUCGUCUAUGGGAGCCCAAAUAGGUAGAAACAGAAGGAUUUGUGGGAUACCUUAAAACAUUCAAUCCCAAUGGGAAAUUACCCAUGGGUUGCAAUCGGUGACUUUAACGCUAUUCUUUCUUCCUCUGAGAAAUCAGGUGAUAUGUCUAAAGGUAAGUGUUGCCCUCUUUUUGGAAAUUUUAUGGAUAAGGCAGAGCUUCAUGAGUUAGGGUACAAGGGGCCCCCUAUUAUAUGGCAUAGGGAUUUACUUUUUAAAGGCUUAACUGGGCUCUCGGAAAUGAUGCAUGGGUCCAGCAUUUUCUAAAUAGUUUGGUCACCCACCUUUCAAAAAUUAAGUCUGAUCAUAUGCCUCUUCUCAUUUCUUUAAAUCUGAAGAUUAUUCUUCCUAGAGGUAGGCCUUUUGGGUUUUUGGCAGGUUGGGUUGAGCAUCUGGAUUUUGGAAAACUGGUAGAAGAUAAAUGGGGUUUCUCUGGUGACAAGGCAGCUACUUUAAGUACUUUCCGCCGUGAUCUUAAAGAUUGAAAUAAGUUGGUCUAUGGUCACAUCACUUUUUGGAAAAAUUUUCUUGUUCAGGAGCUUACCAAAAUUCAGAAGAUUAUGGAUCUCUCUAGUUUUAACAGUCUAGCUCAGGUGGAGUUAAAAAUUCGACAGGAGUUGGAGAAUGUUCUUUAUCAUGAAGAACUCCUUUGGAAUCAAAAGAUUCGUUGUGAUUGGCUUUAUCUUAGAGACAGCAAUACUAUGUUUUUUCACUCUCAUACGUUGCGUCAAAGAAAGAAUAACCUUAUUAUUGCAAUUCGUAAUGAUUGUGGGAACUGGAUUUAUGAGCCGGAAGAUAUUAAAGCUGAGGCUAAUAAAUUUUUUCAGAAUUUGUACAGGGAGUUUCCUGGUCCUAUGGGACGAUUGCCUUCUAGUAAUUUUCCUCGUCUUGGUCAAUAUGAUAUCUCCUUUUUGGGGAAGCAGAUAACUAAUGAGGAAAUUAAGGGGGCUCUUUUUAACAUGUCUCAUUUUAAAGCUUCAGGUAGUGAUGGUUUUUAUGCACUCUUUUUCCAGAAGCAAUGGAAUACUGUUGGAGAUGCAGUCUGCAAUUGGGUUAGGGGUUAUUUUAAUGGGGCCAACAUUGAUGCUGAACUGAAUAAUACAUUAAUUGUCUUUAUUCCCAAGGUUGACAAUCUUGAGGAUUUUUCCCAAUAUCGUUCAAUUAGCCUCUGCUCUAUUUUAUACAAACUUGUGAUUAAGGUUAUUGCAAAUCAUUUUAAAGUUAUUUUUCCUAAGAUUAUUGGUCCCGAACAGGCUGGGUUUAUUGCAGGGAGGAAUAUUACUGACAAUGUCAUGAUUGCCCAAGAGGUAAUCCACUCGAUACGGAGCUUUUGUAGAAAAAAAUGGAUGACUAUCAAGAUAGACUUGGAGAAGGUCUACGACAGAGUACGAUGAGACUUUAUCAAUGCUUCACUCCAAGCAGCCGGUAUCCCUACUUUUCUCAUAAAUUUUAUUGUGUCAUCUAUAUCUAAUUCUACGAUGCAGGUUUUGUGGAAUGGUGUUCCAUUGUCUAAGUUCAGGCUUGCUAGAGGAAUCCGACAAGGAUGCCCGCUCUCUCCUUAUUUUUUCAUAUUAUGCAUGGAUUGGCUUGGCCAAACAAUUCAUUCGACUAUAUCUCGGAGGGUGAAUAGAGUCCCAUUCAGCUAUCCCAGGCUAGUCUUCCUAUCUCUCAUUUAUUUAUUACAAAUGAUUAGGUUAUUUUCAGUAAAGCUGAUACAAAACAUAGUAAACUCAUAAAGGGCAUUCUCGGUAGUUUCUGCGAUUUUUCUGGUCAUAAAAUAAAUGAUAGGAAAAUGAGCAUCUUUUUCUCUAAAGGUGUGGAGAUGACAGUGGCGGACUCAAUUAGUUCUUUGUUUGGUUUCCAAAAAGUUCAGAAUCUUGGUCACUACCUUAGGAUUCCACUCUUUCAUAAGAGGGUGACUAAUAGUACUAUGCACUUCGUUGUUGAGAAAGUUAGAGGCAAGCUCCAAAGUUGGGAUGCAAAAAGAUGAUCCAUUACUUAUAACAGCUCGAUUUUGGGCCUAGUCAGAACAAUGGUUUCGGAACCACUAUUUCGAAGUUGGAGAAAUUAUUUUAAUAUUAUUUUAUGUGUGACGACAUGAUUAUAAAGGUGCAUGAAAAAUUUGGUGAAUAAAUUUUAGCGUUUAAGAGCUUAAUUGCGAAAAAGGACUAAAUCGCAUAAAAGGUAAAAGUUUAAUUUCACUUGAUAGACAUACCAAAUAGCUAAAGAGCCAAAAUUUAUGAUCUUUAAAUGGAAAAUAGACCCUUAAAAUGCAGUAUGGCUGGCCAUAGGGAUAAAGAAUUAGGCUAGUCAAUGUUAGGUAAAAAUUUGGUGACUUGUUUGACUAAAAAGAAAUAAAAUAAAUAAAAGAUGAUAUCACCCAUUUCACCUCUUCUUCUUCACCAAAAUUCUCAGCAAAAAUAAGGGUUUUGAAGCCUUGAAAUUUUAGCCAAGCUAGCAUCUUGCAAGUAAGUCAAUUUGAGGGUUAUUCUUGAUAAUUUUUGUACUUUUGGGACCCCUAAAGCUUAAUCUAGCUAUUAAGGGGACUAUUUGUGAAAUGAUUGAUAGUAUAGGGAAUUACCAUGAAAGGAUUUGUAUGGUUGCUGAGUUUUUAUGGAAGAAAAUGAGUAUUGGUUGUUGAGUGAACAACUUUUGUGAAAGGACUUAUCAUGAAAACCCUAAUAGGACCAUUUUGUAAAGUUUGUAAAAUAGAUAGUAAUGUUAUGAAAUAUUGAGAAUUUGGGGUGGUCAUUAGAGAAAUAAAUGUUCGGUUAGGCUUGGCUAAUAAGGAAAUUCGAUAAAAAUCAAUUUUCGAGCCUAGGGGUAAAAUCGUAAUUUUUACGAAGUUUAAGGGCAAAACAGUCAAUUUACCAAAGUAUGAGUCUUAAGUUGAAUUGAAUGAUUUGUAUAUUAAAUAAGCUAAUUUUUGACAUUUUAAAUCAAAAGAAACGUGAUUCGGGUAUUGAUCGAGGGAAGAACAAAAUUUACGAGGAUUAAGCUCAUUCCCAUCAUUUUGUGCCGAGGUAAGUACAUAUGUAUAGGGGUGUUCAGUCGGUUAACCGACCCGAAAUAACAUUAAUCGAAUUAAUCGACUUUUCAAAAUUUUUAACUGUUAAUCGAACCGAAAUUUUUUCGGUUAAUUCGAUAGGUUAACCGAAUUAACUAAAAAUUAUAUGUUUUUUUAAUUUUUGGUUAAAAUAAGAAUAAAAUUAACCGAAUUAACCAAAUUAACCGAAUUACCCCAAUUAACCAAAUUAACCGAAUUAUUCAAAUUAUUUGUAUAAAAUUAUAUUUUUUAUUUUUAUUUUUACUCAUUAAAUUAUUUGUAAUUUUUAUGAUUGGAUUGGGUAAUUGGGUUGGGUUAGGUACUUGGGUUAAUAUAUAUUAGAUUGGGUAUUUGGGUUUAUGUUGGAUUAGGUUUGAGUGAAUAGUGGGCUAUUUAUAUAUUAUAAUUUUAUUUAUUAAUUUUUUCGGUUAAACUGAAAAAAUUCGGUUAACCGACCGGUUUCAAACCGAAUUAACCAUUAACUAAAAACUCAAAAAAUUAUUAACCGACCCCCACCGAAUUAAUUCGGUUUACCGACUGAUUAACUGAAUUCAGUCGGUUAACCGAAUUUUGCACACCCCUACAUAUGUAAAUAAUGUGUCAUUGUAGCUUACUUUUAAAUGUUUUUUUUACCAUGUAUCAUAAUCUACUCGAUACCAUGAAAGUAUAAAUAAUGCGAUAUAAGAGUAACCUACAUUAUGAACAAGUGCGAUAGCAUCAGGUUAGAUACGAGAUCCAGUCGAACCUCAGAAAUAGUAUAGGAUACAAAAGGUAAGUCAUGAGAAAUUGAAUGGUCUGAACUCAUGAGUUGAGUCUAAGUUCAUGAGACAAGUGAAAUAUGUAAUGUGGGUCUGGGUACUGACUUUGUGUACAGACCCGUGAGUAGCUCAAUGAGUGGGCAUUACAUGAUAGAGCUAUAGGGUCCGGGUAUUGACUUGGUGAAAAGGCCCUUGAGUAGCUCAAAUAUGCAAGUAUUACAAAGUACGAGGUAACUUUGGCUACUUGUAUAGUAUUUAGGAGUAAACUAUCCGUGUAUUCAUUGGUAUUUCUGAGUGUUCAAAGGGUUAACUCGAUGAAUGGAUUGGCGAUACUUCCAAUGAGGUAUGUCAAUAGAGAGAAUGAACUUGAGUUAUUUUACUGGUAACUACAGGUAUAUAUACUAAACUCUCGAACGAAGACCUUAAUGUGUGAUGAGAUGUAGUAAGUAUGCGUAAAAGAAGGAAGAGCAAGAUAGUGAGGUUAAAAUGAUAUACCAUUUAAGUAUGAUAAGCCAUUGUUUGACGAAUGUGUUUCUAAUUACACUUAUUUGCAUAUAUGUACUUACUAAGCUCCCAUGCUUACCUUUUUUCCUUUCCAUUUCCUUUUAGUGCCGCCAAAGUAGUUCGAGGAUUGUCGCAUACGUCGGAGAAGCUAGUCACACUAUCCUUGAAGCACUUGGUAUAACUAGUUUUAUCAUUUUGAUUAGGACAUGUAUAGGAGUAUUUGAUUUUAUUUUUGUGUCACAUUGUUUUGGGGCCAAAGGUGUUGGCUUGUUUUAACAUUUGACUCAUUUUGUAUAAGGCCAUGAAAAUGGCUAAUAUUUUAAGUCAUUAUAUGAAUGCAAGAUAGUCUUUUGCGAAUGUGAAAUUGUUGAUAUGGUUAAAUUUGUGAAAUGUAUAUAGGCCUUAGCUAUGGUUGUUGGUUGAGAACUCAUAUUAAAUUAGACCUUGAUAUGUUGAUUAGUAUUAAAUUUUGUUUCAGGGUGGCAUAAGGCUUGGUAAAUAGCCUUAUAUUGUCCACACGGGUAAACACACGGGCGUGUGUCUAGGCCGUGUGUGACACACGGCCAGCCCCAUGGGCGUGUUGUCCGGCCGUGUGUCCCCUGCACGUAAAUUUUACAAGUCAGUAUACAUGGUAAUAGACAAACGGGUAGAGACACAGUCGUGUGUCUCAGCCGUGUGAAGGGCAUAGUCUAGCACACGGGUGUGUGCCUUGGCCGUGCGCCCCUAAUUGGAUGCUGACGUUAGAAACAAAAUGUCAAGGUUUUUAGACACGGGCUAAGACACGGGCGUGUCAUGGCCGUGUGAGGGACACGGGCCAUAGACACGGGCGUGUUCCAUGUCGUAUGAAAACCUCUAUGCUUUAAAUUUAGAAUUUAAUUCACACGGGCAUGGGACAUGGGCGUGUCCCUAGAUGCUUAAGCAGUGUGUGCCACAAGGGCCAUUAGUACGACCAUGUUCAAGUUCCACACGAGCGUGUCGCCCAUCCACACGGGCGUCUGCCCUGUUUCAAAGGUCAUUUUCCUAGUGUUGAUUAAAGGACCUGAAUUGGUCCCGAGUGAUUUCCAAGAGAUGCUUUGGGCCUUAUAGGCUCCUGAUAAGAAGUUUGUGAAAAGUUUGAAAAAGUUUUGAAUUUAAUCAAGUCUUGGUAACACGUAAAUGUUUGAAUGCAUGUGUUUAAGUUUAGUAACACCUCGUAUUCCGUCCUAGUGUAGGGCACAGGUGUGGGGUGUUACAUCGCUGGUCACACCACUUUGGUAUAGUCGAUUAUUCUAUCUAUUCCUAGCUACUUUAUGCAGUCCAUGAUAAUCCAUAAGAAAGUUUGUGAUGAAAUUGAGAGUUCGGUGAAGCAGUUCAUUUGGGGUUCUUCUGAGCAUAAAAGGAAGAUGUCUUUAGUUAGGUGAGACUCCAUUUGUCACCCUAAAUGUUGUGGAGGCCUUGGUUUACGGAAACUUCGAGACCAAAAUAUCUCAUUCCUGCUAAAGCUAGGUUUUAAUCUCGUUACUAAUAAAUAGACCCUUUGGGUUUGGGUUAUUAGGGCUAAAUAUCGUAUGGAGGAUACUUCUCUUGAAACUAUUAAGCAAGAAAGAAGUUCGUUCUGUGGAAUUCCCUCACUAAAAUUUGGCCGUUGCUUCGAGAAAACUUAUGUUAGUCCAUUGGUAACAGGAUUCAAAUUUGUUGUUGGGAAUAUGUUUGGAUUCCUACUGUGGGAAAGUUGAUCAAGAUUAUUCCAGCUAAUGUUAAUAUUGACUCAGGGUGCUGUCUUAAUGAUAUGGUCAAUGAGGAUGGUUUGUGGAACCUUGAUUUGUUCAGACUUUGGAUCCUAGAGGAAGUGAUCGAGUUGAUUAUAGGUAUUCCCCCUUCUCUUCCAUUUGAGGGGCAAGAUAGAAUCAUUUGGUGUCAUACUUCGUCUGGAAACUUCUCGGUCAAAAGCACUUAUAAGAUUUGUAAUGGUGAUGGAUAGAAUUUAAAUGAUGAAAAAUGGAAAUAGAAUCAUUUGGUGUCAUACUUUGUCUGGAAACUUCUCGGUCAAAAGCGCUUAUAAGAUUUGUAAUGGUGAUGGAUAGAAUUUAAUGGAUGAAAAAUGGAAGUAUGUUUGGAAGACUCCAGGCCCUCAAAGAGUUCAUUUCUUUAUUUGGUUAGUUCUUAAGCAGCGUCUCUUCAGUAAUGUUGAAAGGGUCAAAAGAGGUUUAGCAGUUGAUCCCUCAUGCUUUACAUGUAGUUCUCCUUCAGAAGAUAUUCUUCAUAUCCCUAGAUAUUGUAAUGCAGCUAAGGAUGUGUGAAGCAAGGUCAUAACAAGUAAUCAUUUUGACGAAUUUUUUCUCUCUUAACUUACAAGUUUGGAUUCUUUUAAAUGUGUAGGAUGAUUCAGUGAUCUCGGAGGGAGAAGCUAGCUGGGCUAGUUUUUUUGGAAUUUUGAUUUGGCGGCUUUGGAAGAAUCGUAAUCUUCUCAUUUUUCAGGGUCAUGCUGGGAGUUCGAAAGAGAUUGUCAAUAACUCUUUGUGUUGUGCUACUCAAUGUUAUUCACCCUCAAGAGUUACUACCUGUGGUGGUCUUGGUCCUUCCUUGGAAGAAGAAGCUUAUGGGUUUAAGAUCUUCUUCAAUACAUGUGAGGCAAUGCGAUUGGAUACUGGAACUGCAGCUGCUGGGGGGUUGCGAGAGAUAGGAAUGGACAGUGGCUCUUUGGUUUUAAUCGAUAUAUUGGAAAGUGCUCGAUUUUCGAAGUUGAACUUUGAGGUAUUUUUGAAGGACUUAAGCUUGCCCAACGAAGAGGUCAUGAUUGUGCAAUAAACCUAUCAGACAGUCUGAACGUUGUUCGGGCCAUUCAAGGGAGUUGUCCAGCCACGUUGAAUUCCCUUUGAUUAGGCAUAUCCAGAGCAUCUUAUCUCAGGAGAAUUUUUGGUUAUUACGGUAUAUUCCCAGGGAGCAAAUUGCAGUAGCAGAUUGUUUGGCAAAAGGAGCUCUAUCUUCUACAGUGGAUUUGCAAUUCUUUGAUAUUCCCCCUGCUACGGUUCAAAAUUUCUUAGAUAUUGUCUAGUCUAGAGGUUUUUUCUCUGAUCGUAUGGAUGUAAUCAAUUAGAUGGUUUCUUUGUUUUUUUUUUCACCAAAAAAAUUACACCAAACUAAAUAUAGACAGUUAAAUUAAUGUCAUAAUAUUAAAAAAAAUUAUUAAUUUCACUUCAUAUGAAUUUUAUUUUUUAUUUUUUAUUUUAGCUAUCGAGAGUGUUACGUGGAAAUGCUGAGCAUUCAACAAAAGGCACGGAUACCAUUCAGAAUUUUUUUUAAAAUUCUUUAAUUUUGAAAAAUUAAAGAAAUAAAUAAAAAAUUAAUAAUUAAGUUAUUCAGUCAAUCAAAAGAUUCAAAACCAAUACAAUUUAAUCCUCCCCAUUAUCCAAUAAGAAAUCUAUUAUCCUAACCCAACCUAUUACUCAGUUAUCCAUACUCAUCUAACCCUAAACCCAAUUAAUGGAAACAGGCAACCAAUGGAAUUGAUGAAACUAGGUCGACUCAUUUCUUUCAAUUAUGAAACUAAAGCCCAUCAAUUUGAAUUAAUUUUCCCAAUAAGAGUCAAUUGAGUCUUGAAAUAGACUCAUCGGACGGUCCCUUAUCUGGGCUUUCUAAUGAAGGCUUCGUUUGGAUGGGCGAUUGACUGCGGUGCGGUGCGUUUAACUUACUUUUUGUCUCACGCUGCAGUAUCGCUACAGUAUCUAAUCUCACCGCCACCGCUGUUUUUACACUAACCGCAGCUAAACGCACCGCCCAUCCAAACUCACCCGAAGUUUGAGCCAUCGUCUUCGGUGCGAUUUACCUUAUCGACUGACAAGGGUAACAAUAAUGAAUAUUUGAAAUAUUUAAAUAAAGUUAUUAUUAUUAUUUAUUAUCUUAAUUAUAAAUUGCUUUACUUUUAUAAAUAAAAGAAGUGGAGCCAUUUUAUAAAUAUUUCUUUAGUUCAAAAUGUUAUACUGGAUUUGAAUUGGAUGAAGGUUGAUUACACAAUAAAUAAAAUAGUUUCGCAAAACUAUGAAACACAUUAAAAAUUUUAUUUUAAAGAAAUAUAACUAAAUUGCUAAAGCGAUUCAAUAUGUCAAUUAUUUAUCCCAUUUAGGGAAAAAAAAAAAGGAACCUUCAUUCCCCCAAAACUCAGGGAAUGACUAGCCUUAAAAAUAGUGAUAAUUAUGCUAAUUUUCAAUAUGCUUAUGUUUCAUCCACCCUAAAUCUUGCCCCCUAUAAACAUUCAUUACCACCAAAUUUCCAACGUUAACAAAGCAACUCCAUCUUAUUGGGAAAACAUGGAAACAAUCUUAAAACAAAACAAGCUUCUCGGUGAAGAGGAAAGCAAAGAUAAUUCUUUAAUGGCAGUCGACGGUGACUCUCCUCCGCAUUACAAUGACGACUGUUCAACGUCUCCUUUCAGGAAAUCUCCAUGGUCGUCUCACGAAUCCACUCAUUUAUAUGCUUCGGCUGUUGAAGACACCAACAACGUCACUCCUAACGUGCUCAUGGGUUCGUUGGUACGUGAAGAAGGGCAUAUAUAUUCCUUGGCUGCCUCUGGGGAUUUGUUAUACACGGGUUCCCAUAGCAAGAACAUUAGAGUUUGGAGGAACCAGAAGGAGUUUUCAGGGUUUAAAUCCAAUAGUGGAUUGGUUAAAACCAUAGUCAUUGCUGGAGAGAAGAUCUUUACGGGUCAUCAAGAUGGGAAGAUUCGGGUUUGGAAGAUUGCUAACAAAAACUCAGGUGUUCAUAAACGAGUUGGUACAUUACCAGCUUUUAAAGAUUAUUUAAUAAGCUCCAUGAAGCCAAGUAGUUAUGUUGAAGUGAACAGCAAUCGUAAGGCCGUAUGGCUCAAGCACAUCGAUGCUAUAUCUUGCCUUAGUUUGAAUGAAGAUAAAACGUUGCUUUACUCGGCUUCUUGGGAUAAAACAUUCAAAGUUUGGAGAGUUUUGGAUUCGAAAUGCUUGGAAUCCGUUCAAUCCCACGAUGAUGCAGUGAAUUCCAUUGUUGCAGGCUUCGAUGGGUUAGUGUUUACAGGCUCAGCUGAUGGAACGGUCAAGAUUUGGAGCAGAGAGUUACAAGAGAAAGGAACCAAGCAUAUCUUUUCACAGAUAUUGCUGAAACAAGAAUGUGCGGUUACGGCAUUGGCCUUGGACCUUGUUGCUACAAUGGUUUAUUGCGGGUCAUCGGAUGGAGUGGUUAACUUUUGGGAAGGUGACAACCAUCUCUUCCACGGUGGUGCUUUGAGAGGGCACAAACUGGCUGUUCUUUGCUUGGUAACAGCAGGGAACCUUGUGAUCAGUGGAUCAGCUGAUAUGGGGAUUACCGUAUGGAAAAGAUCGGGGGCUAAGCAUUUGUGCUUGUCCAUGUUAGACGGCCAUGCCGGUCCCGUUAAGUGCUUGGCAAUAGAAAGAGAUCCUGAUGAAUCAAUCCCUGGUCAAGAGCGGUGGAUUCUUUACAGUGGUAGCCUAGAUAAGUCGGUCAAGAUGUGGCGCAUAUCGGAAAGAGCCCCGCCUAUGACACAAUGGCGGCAGCAGUCUUACUCAUCAUCGGACACCAAACAUCUACCGGCCACAUUGCCAGCGAAUCCCGCUUUCUCUUCCCAAGGUGGAGUUGGCCAAAGAAAGGAAUAGUGGAUUCUAAGGACUUGAUUUGGUUGUUAGGUUUUCAAAGAUAAUAGGCAUUCAAUUAAGAUGUUCAUACUUCAUACAAGAGUCAAUCAAAUCCAUAAAAAUGUAUAUAUUGACUAACAUUUCCUUCCACAAACAGUGCUGAACUUGAAUUCUAUAUAAAUACCAGGUGAUGGAUUUCUUCUGAAUCAUCAACUAACAAGAAACUCGUCAAAUUUCUUUAAAUGCAUGCUUUGAGUGUACAAGUCUUGGGCAAUUAAUUCAAAGCAGCAUUUGCGAAUAAAAAACAGACAUCAAUUAAUGAAAGGCAGGGUUAGGCAUUUCUUAUUGGUUUGAACUUGGAAGUUGCCAUGUAUGAUCAAAAAAAGUGUCGGUACCUUUCCCUGUGUAAGAUUGAAACCAAGCACAUAUUUUGAGUUAAAACCCAAGCUUCCAAGGUUGCAAAGAACCGUACGAAGGGACAGCUGGCAUUCCGUUAUAUCGCAGUCAAGUUCAAGAGGCUUUAUUAAUUGCUCACAAGGAGGAAGAUGUAUGUUUCCCGUAUUAAAAGGAUUGGAACCCAAAGGCGUUGAUGCAGUAGGGAGAUUCUGAAAUGGGAUGAAGAAAGGACCAACUUCAGCACAAUUAAGCACUCAUUUUAUUGCACUGCAACUAGGUGGUCCUCCUGUCUAAUUUCUAGCCCAUAGAAAAGGUCCUGUACAUACUCUGCCCAUGUAAAUGCACAAGAGACGAGGGAGCUUAUGUGCCUUGCCCCGUUUUAGUGCAUCACAUCGGGUGUCAUGUUAUGGUGCUUUUAUUUGGUUACUAGCAUACAAAUUCGAAUGGAAUAGUAAAUCAAAAUAUCAUAUGCAGUGAGGAGAAGAUAUAUUUUUGUACAAAACAUUGUGUAAAUGCCACUUUGUGCACCAUUCACCACAUUCUUUUGAUGGCUAGAUUGUAGGUCGGGCCUAGCCAGGCUCCUCAAAUACAAUAUCAAAGCUCGUUUCCAAAAAAAUAUCCACUUAUCUCCUUGAGGCACAUUUAAAAUUUAUUUACGCAAAAGAUUAACUUGUCUUCUAUUAAUAGCUUAUUAUUCUAUUUAUUUAUUUAUUUUUGUCAUUUUCAUUAUUUUAUAUUUAAUACAUUUUAAUCACACAAUAAUGAAAAAAAAAAUCUAAUUUGUUUUAAAAUUAUUUAAUUAUUAUUAGUUAAAUUAUAUUUUAAUAUAAAUAUGUUUUAAAUAUAAUGCAUUUUUCAAGCUAACAUAUAUAAGUUUAUUUUAAUAAAAUUUCAUGAAGGAUAAUGAAAUAUAUUGUGUUAUAUUAUAUUAUUUAUUUUUGAAUCAAUUUCCAUGCAAAUACGGGUGAAUGCUUUAUAAUUAAUUUUAAUUUAAUUAUAUAUUAAAGUUAACAUUAAUACAUUAAAUUAGUUAAUUUAAAAUAAUAUAAUUACAAUUUUAGUGAUAAAAAAAAUUUUAUUAGUUAAAACAAAAUUUAAACAAAUAUUACUUUGAAUUUCUUUUGCUCAGUUAAUUUUCAAUUUCAAUAACUGAAAAUUGCAAUAUAUAAGUAACUUUGAAAACAAAAGGGUGUGAGAUUCAUAAACUAGAAAGGUUUGUCAGCGCCUAUUUUCAAUUUUUAGGGUUUUUAUAAUAUAAUUAAAAAAAAAGACUGAAAUGGUAUAGGGCAAAAAGUAAUGACGAAAAUGGUAUGGACUAGGGUGGUGCGACCUAUGGCAGUGGUGUGACCACUCUGGGUCCCACUGAUUCUGUCAUUUUCUGUUAAAAAGAAAAAAAGUUAAAAACGAAAAAAAUAAAAAAAAAGGGGUUGUGUGGGUGCCAGAGGCGGCACCGGUUGUGCCUCUGGCAUAGGCAGCACUGCCCCAUUAUAAAACCAACUUUUGGAAGCAAGAAGAAGCAGCAACUCGGGAAGCAGGAAGCAGUAGCAAGGAGAAGAAAAGAAAGAAAGGAGAAGAGAAGAAGAAGAAGGAGAAAGA
Molecule: long non-coding RNA, 55277 nt
Filed under: Gossypium barbadense (sea-island cotton)
Lineage: Eukaryota; Viridiplantae; Streptophyta; Magnoliopsida; Malvales; Malvaceae
Description: long non-coding RNA (GBAR_LNC010233)
Source: RNAcentral